RNAcentral lists this long non-coding RNA (76147 nucleotides) under Citrus sinensis (sweet orange). Its description in RNAcentral is "long non-coding RNA (CSIN_LNC004239)". The record is from RNAcentral. Lineage: Eukaryota; Viridiplantae; Streptophyta; Magnoliopsida; Sapindales; Rutaceae.
AUGAUGGUGUAGAAUAUCCUGUUGAUGGUAAAUUGAUGGUUGCUAGGCGUGCUCUCAACAUGCAAGUUAAAGAGGAUGCGGAGGUACAACGUGAUAACAUCUUUCAUACUAGAUGCCACAUCAAAGAUAAGGUAUGUAGUAUGAUAAUUGAUGGAGGAAGUUGUACUAAUGUAGCUAGCACUAGUUUAGUUGAAAAAUUAAAUUUGAAAACUUUGAAACAUCCAAGGCCAUAUAAGCUACAAUGGCUGAAUGAUUGUGGGGAAGUUAAAGUAAAUAAACAAGUGCUGGUUUCAUUCUCUAUUGGGAGAUACAAGGAUGAGGUUCUAUGUGAUGUAGUACCCAUGCAUGCUGGACACAUUCUUUUGGGUCGACCUUGGCAAUAUGAUAGGCGUGUGACACAUGAUGGAUACUUAAAUAGAUAUUCUUUUGUAAUGAAUAAAAGGCAAAUCACUCUUGUACCAUUAACACCUAGGAAUUCCAUGUCAUAAAACUGAUGAUGCGACAAGCAUAACUAAUUUGUUUUUCAAGGAAAUAGUCAAGUUGCAUGGAGUACCAAGGAGCAUAGUUUCAGAUCGAGAUGUUAAGUUCUUGACCCACUUUUGGAAAACUUUCUUGAUAAGUUCACUAGCAUCUCGAUCUGAAACUAUGCUCCUUGGUACUCCAUGCAACCUGACUAUUUCCUUGAAAAACAAAUUAGCUAUGCUUGUCGCAUCAUCAGUUUUAUGACAUGGAAUUCCUAGGUGUUAAUGGUACAAGAGUGAUUUGCCUUUUAUUCAUUACAAAAGAAUAUCUAUUUAAGUAUCCAUCAUGUGUCACACGCCUAUCAUAUUGCCAAGGUCGACCCAAAAGAAUGUGUCCAGCAUGCAUGGGUACUACAUCACAUAGAACCUCAUCCUUGUAUCUCCCAAUAGAGAAUGAAACCAGCACUUGUUUAUUUACUUUAACUUCCCCACAAUCAUUCAGCCAUUGUAGCUUAUAUGGCCUUGGAUGUUUCAAAGUUUUCAAAUUUAAUUUUUCAACUAAACUAGUGCUAGCUACAUUAGUACAACUUCCACCAUCAAUUAUCAUACUACAUACCUUAUCUUUGAUGUGGCAUCUAGUAUGAAAGAUAUUAUCACGUUGUACCUCCGCAUCCUCUUUUACUUGCAUGUUGAGAGCACGCCUAGCAACCAUCAACUUACCAUCAACAGGAUAUUCUACACCAUCAUUAGCAUCCUCCAAAGGUGGCAUAGCUGCUGUACGGCCAAGGCGGAUGUACGGUACAGCAGGAGGGAGCUCGGGCCAAAUACAGCCCACCUAACAGCAGCUAUCAAGGCUAUAGGCGCGAAAGAAAGGCGAGCAGGGAAUUUGGCAUCAUAUCGGUUAGCUGAGCCUGCCUCAAGGAAGAGCUUUGAACCUACUUUCAAAUGAAGUUUCGUUCCGGGGAGUAAUAUCAAGUAAUCUGAUGAUCCGGCCUUUGUGGCCUGGUUAAAGAGUUUCCUGAAUGGAAUAAGCAUUCAACCCCUUUCCUAAAUAAAGAAAGUAAGACAAGCCAGCUGCUGUACGGCCAAGGCGGAUGUACGGUACAGCAGAAGUGUACAUAGGGAUUCUCAACUCUUCGAUUGCGGUAGAGUAGAAAGGGUCCAUGAAAAGUCCGUCGAACCACCACCCCAAAAAAAGAAUGCAAUGACCCCUUCAGAUCGAAAAUGAAUCUUAUAAUUGCAGUUGCAUUAUGCCAGUGAUCAAGAUAUCAACCACAUAAAUUGGUAGGAGAAUGGUUAUGGACCCAUGAUGACGAGUAGUAAGUGAUGAGUCGGACUUAGAAAAUCUUAGGCCAAACUAAAUGUUGAUCAGUGAAGACAAGAAAGCUUUUAAGUGUAGAUGACUACUUGUACUUGAAAUUCCAUUCCUUUAUCAGGUGGGAGGGUUUAGAGCCAGUUAAGCCAAUAGCAUAUCUAGCAACAGCUUCAGUAACACUAGCUACAUCAGUAGAUCAUUGAUUAGCAUACCUCCUCUGAAUAGUCUCUGCUGUACCGUACAUCCGCCUUGGCCGUACAGCAGUUGAGAACUAGUGAACUUAUCAAGAAUUUACAUUCUUGUGGUGUUCCAAAUUUAGACUUAUCACUCACCUUCUCAUCUNNNNNNNNNNNNNNNNNNNNNNNNNNNNNNNNNNNNNNNNNNNNNNNNNNNNNNNNNNNNNNNNNNNNNNNNNNNNNNNNNNNNNNNNNNNNNNNNNNNNNNNNNNNNNNNNNNNNNNNNNNNNNNNNNNNNNNNNNNNNNNNNNNNNNNNNNNNNNNNNNNNNNNNNNNNNNNNNNNNNNNNNNNNNNNNNNNNNNNNNNNNNNNNNNNNNNNNNNNNNNNNNNNNNNNNNNNNNNNNNNNNNNNNNNNNNNNNNNNNNNNNNNNNNNNNNNNNNNNNNNNNNNNNNNNNNNNNNNNNNNNNNNNNNNNNNNNNNNNNNNNNNNNNNNNNNNNNNNNNNNNNNNNNNNNNNNNNNNNNNNNNNNNNNNNNNNNNNNNNNNNNNNNNNNNNNNNNNNNNNNNNNNNNNNNNNNNNNNNNNNNNNNNNNNNNNNNNNNNNNNNNNNNNNNNNNNNNNNNNNNNNNNNNNNNNNNNNNNNNNNNNNNNNNNNNNNNNNNNNNNNNNNNNNNNNNNNNNNNNNNNNNNNNNNNNNNNNNNNNNNNNNNNNNNNNNNNNNNNNNNNNNNNNNNNNNNNNNNNNNNNNNNNNNNNNNNNNNNNNNNNNNNNNNNNNNNNNNNNNNNNNNNNNNNNNNNNNNNNNNNNNNNNNNNNNNNNNNNNNNNNNNNNNNNNNNNNNNNNNNNNNNNNNNNNNNNNNNNNNNNNNNNNNNNNNNNNNNNNNNNNNNNNNNNNNNNNNNNNNNNNNNNNNNNNNNNNNNNNNNNNNNNNNNNNNNNNNNNNNNNNNNNNNNNNNNNNNNNNNNNNNNNNNNNNNNNNNNNNNNNNNNNNNNNNNNNNNNNNNNNNNNNNNNNNNNNNNNNNNNNNNNNNNNNNNNNNNNNNNNNNNNNNNNNNNNNNNNNNNNNNNNNNNNNNNNNNNNNNNNNNNNNNNNNNNNNNNNNNNNNNNNNNNNNNNNNNNNNNNNNNNNNNNNNNNNNNNNNNNNNNNNNNNNNNNNNNNNNNNNNNNNNNNNNNNNNNNNNNNNNNNNNNNNNNNNNNNNNNNNNNNNNNNNNNNNNNNNNNNNNNNNNNNNNNNNNNNNNNNNNNNNNNNNNNNNNNNNNNNNNNNNNNNNNNNNNNNNNNNNNNNNNNNNNNNNNNNNNNNNNNNNNNNNNNNNNNNNNNNNNNNNNNNNNNNNNNNNNNNNNNNNNNNNNNNNNNNNNNNNNNNNNNNNNNNNNNNNNNNNNNNNNNNNNNNNNNNNNNNNNNNNNNNNNNNNNNNNNNNNNNNNNNNNNNNNNNNNNNNNNNNNNNNNNNNNNNNNNNNNNNNNNNNNNNNNNNNNNNNNNNNNNNNNNNNNNNNNNNNNNNNNNNNNNNNNNNNNNNNNNNNNNNNNNNNNNNNNNNNNNNNNNNNNNNNNNNNNNNNNNNNNNNNNNNNNNNNNNNNNNNNNNNNNNNNNNNNNNNNNNNNNNNNNNNNNNNNNNNNNNNNNNNNNNNNNNNNNNNNNNNNNNNNNNNNNNNNNNNNNNNNNNNNNNNNNNNNNNNNNNNNNNNNNNNNNNNNNNNNNNNNNNNNNNNNNNNNNNNNNNNNNNNNNNNNNNNNNNNNNNNNNNNNNNNNNNNNNNNNNNNNNNNNNNNNNNNNNNNNNNNNNNNNNNNNNNNNNNNNNNNNNNNNNNNNNNNNNNNNNNNNNNNNNNNNNNNNNNNNNNNNNNNNNNNNNNNNNNNNNNNNNNNNNNNNNNNNNNNNNNNNNNNNNNNNNNNNNNNNNNNNNNNNNNNNNNNNNNNNNNNNNNNNNNNNNNNNNNNNNNNNNNNNNNNNNNNNNNUUGAGACCUUUCGUAAAGUAGAGGUAAAUAUUCCUCUACUUGAUGCUAUUAAACAAGUGCCGCGUUAUGCAAAGUUUUUGCAGGAAUUAUGCAGCAACAAGCGAAAGUUGAGCGGUAACGAAAAGGUAAGUGUUGGAGAGAAUGUUUCUGCUGUACUUCAAAGAAAACUUCCGCCUAAGUGCAAGGAUCCAGGUACUUUCACUAUCCCCUGCACUAUUGGUAAUACCAGAUUCGAAAGAUGUAUGCUAGAUUUAGGGGCCUCAAUUAAUGUUAUGCCAUAUUCGAUUUAUAACUCCUUGAAUUUAGGUCCAAUGGAAGAAACUGGUAUAAUUAUUCAAUUGGCUGACAGAUCUAAUGCUUACCCGAAGGGGGUUAUGGAAGAUGUUCUUGUGCAGGUCAAUGAAUUAGUCUUUCCAGCUGAUUUUUAUAUCCUUGAAAUGGAGGAUGAGUUGUCGCCCAAUCCCACUCCUAUUCUGUUGGGGCGGCCAUUUCUUAAGACAGCCCGAACCAAGAUUGAUGUUCAUGAUGGAACCCUCACAAUGGAAUUCGAUAGUGAAGUGAUCCGCUUCAAUAUUUUUGAGGCAAUGAGGUAUCCUAGUGAUGCACAUUCUGUCUUUGCCAUAGAUGAUAUUAAUACUUUGGUGCAGGAUUUCUUUGAAUUACCCGGUAAUGACAGUUUUGAAAUUGCCAUAAGCAAAAAUCUUACGAAAGAUGAUUCUAAGGAACAUGCAAAUUUGAUAAAGUUGGAUGAUGAGGUAGAGGAAGCUAUGGCGAUCUUAGAUGGAGCAGUCACAUUAUGCACCAAUGGGUAUAGUGUUUCUUACUUUGAAUUAGUCUUCAUUGUCCACAAGCCUUACUUCUAGCACCUAGAAACGCGGGACUACUAGACACAAGACAUGGCAUAUGAAUGGAGAACUUAUCCUCAUCCAUAUACCCUCAUUCAUGACACAUCUGUUACUUCUGUUCUCAAAGCCGACCUUAUGGAACCAAACAAUGUUCCUUCCCCGGCCACAGACAUUCACCACACCUCUAUUAGACCAUCACACACUCUUGAAAUUAUUCCCAAAACACAAGGCUGUACUCCAGGUUCAAGUUCAAGCCCUCAAGGUAUCCUUGUCAUGGAACAACGUCCUGACUACACCAAUGUCUUAUUCCAAGAUGAUCAGGAUCCAUGGGAAGACUUUCAGUCCCUUCUCUAUACUGAAAAUCCUCGUUAUACUGUCACCACUCUAGACUCUCCUGCUACAUCUACAUCUCAGCACAUGACUGAAGCUGAUGAAGCAAAAUACCAGUAAAACUAAAGUAUACCUCGACCAACGACAAAUCCGUCGGCACAAACGACAAUAUGAAAAAGACACAGGAGAUGUGUCACCAUCUCGUUAUCCAUCCACUCCAUGAUAACGACUUAUGAACAAGCUUUUGAUACACCUAUCCAUGUGACUCCCGUUUGUCUUUUGUUAAAGUCCUUGUCGGUAUGCUUGUUAAAGUCCUUGUCGGUAUGUUUUCCUUUUGUUAAAGUCCUUGUCAGUAUGCUUUACUUUCGUUAAAGUCCUUAUCGGCGUGCUUUACUUUUUUUUUAAAUGUCUUUAUUGGUGUGCUUUGCUUUAGAAUCAUUCGAGAGGUCCUAUUCUCAAUGAUUUUCUAUAAAUAGCACCUUCAGCUUCAGUUGAGGGGAGCUCAUCAAGAAAUAAAAAAUCCAAUUCUAUACAUUAUGUUUCCCUAAAACUCUCUCUCUCUUCUAGGAAUCAAAGCAAUUAUUUAGGUUACUAAUGAUACGCUCACUCCAAAUUUGCUAAACUGAGUAUGCUCUGCACUUGCCUUAAGCCUAAGGAUCCUGUGCAUCAGAAAAGUCCUGUUUUUAUCCUCCAAAACUGAUUUUAUAAAAUGACGGUAUUUUCUCACAACGUUCACCCUCUUUGAAGGCUCUGAGUGCCAAGUUUUUAGGUGGUAUCAUGAAAAACUAUUUUCAACUAUGAUUUCGGAUUUGGUAUUAAAUGGAUAAGUGUAUAUCGGCUGGAAACCAGAACUUGCGGGCUACUAGCCCUAAGAACAGACUUCGUUCUGUUAUAUCAGAAAUUGGUUGGUUUCCGGAUCUAUUACUGUUUUGGUUUUCCGUGGCUAAAAGAAAUCAAAGGGUUUUCUUUGGGGUGAUAAGCCCUAAACACACGACAAUCCUAGCCUUUUCAAGAGGGCGCCACACCUUACAGAAUCACUCUAUAGUGUUUUAGAAUGGAAAUUUGGAACAGGUAGAUUAGUAUCCAACAACUUUCUGAUGUGGAGGAUCCGAAGUAUUUCGGCAACCACAGAGCAUAAUAUUGUUGCACACCCAGGGGUUUCCUUUCGGGAAAUGUGGCUCUGAUACCAAUUCGAAAAAUAUAUGAAAACAGAGGAAGGUUACUUCAUUAAGAGGAAUGAGAGAUUUACAAAUACAAGAUUGCACUCCAAGACUCGAUGCCUAGAACUAAACCAAGGGUUCCCUUUUAUAGGCUCAAGGGAUCCACUAUUACACACUGUUUACAUUAUUGAUCCUUAUCACUAAGGAAUCUACUUUACAACUCAUCUCUUACUUUGUUUCUAACUCUUAUCCUUAUCUCUAAGGAGAGUAUACAAUACAUACGAAUACAAUACAUAUAUAUUAUUAUUAUCAGAGAUUGAAGUGAACUAUUAUGAGAACCAGUUAUCCUUCCUAGGGGAAUAAAGGAAAAGAGAGAAUUUUUAGAGAGCCAUGAUAUUGGAAAACUCGGAUUAUUAUUUCCAAAAACUGAUCUUAUUACAACUGAGGAUGUGAUGAGAACCAUCAAGGGAAUACCAUUAAAACUUCAAGUGAUCCUUUGCACAUUCAUGGAGGUCCAAUUACAAGAGCAAAAGCCAAAAAGAUGCAAGCUACUUUAAAUGGAUUAAUUGAGAAAAUAUGGAUUGAAAAUGCAAUUCAAGAUGCAAGACAUUAUGAAUUAGGCUUGAAGAGAAGACAAGGCAUUGUGGGCAUUAUUCAAGUUAUUGGGCAGCCAAAUACACAAUUUGUAUCAAAUGCAGAAAUGUCACAUUUGGAAUAAAAACUGUAUUGAUUGAGCUAGAAGUAAUGUGCAAGCUAUAUAUCUUGGAAAUAUAAUUAAGUUAGCUUUCCAAUAAAUUUUGCAGAUCUGGAUUUGGAGUUCUCUAGAAGGAGUUAUGACCAAUUCAUUACAGCUUGUUCAGACUUGAGAUUUUCAACGACUCCUUUGUUUUUCAACUUCAUUUGUUUGUUUUGUUUCAAGUUUGUCAAUGUGUAAGGUAAGUCUACCAUCAAUGAUGGUGGGCUAACAUUAAGUUUGUCAAUGAUAGCAUUAAUUAUAGUAGGCUAGCAUUAAGUUUGUCAAAGAUAGCAUUAAUUAUGGUGGGUUGGUGAAGACUUUUGAAACAUCUUUUGACAAACCUACUUGGAGGGUUGUUCCAAUGUUUCCAUUUGGAUUUUUAGGAUCUUGGGUUUCUUUUAGCCUAUUUAAACUGAACAACUUGAGACAAAAGUUGACUCCCAAACCUUUUGAAUCAAUCCUCAACUGGCAAACCCACAAUGCCAGAGCACAGAAUGAUACCUUUUUGAAUAUUAAUUCCAAAGUUGACAAAAUCAGUUUGCGAACUGAACAACUUGAAACAAAAGUUGACUCCAUCGCUGCACAAAUGGAGUAGAUCCACCAAAAUCUCUAGUCCCGAAUUGCUCAACUCGAUUCUGAGUUACGAACCAUGCUUGCCCAGCGCUACUAUGGCCCUGAAUUUGACCAAAAGGAACGGGAAAUCAGACGUUUAAAAGCUGAGCUGUGUGGCGUCAAUACCCUUCUCUAUACCUUUGGUUCAUGUUUUCUUAAGCAUUGGGUCAAGGUUUUUGUUUGCCAUAAAUCUGUUUAGAACUUUCUUGGGAAGUUGAAACUACAAAUUAAGUGUGGGUUUCAAAGUUUCAUUGUGGGAUUCACAUCAUUUGGUAUCAGAGCUAGUUUCUAAUCAAGUUUGAAUCUCUUAUUUAGUUUGAUUAUCAAAAAGAAAAAAAAAAGAAAAAGAAACGUACAAAAAAAAGAUUACAAAAGGAUUCAAGUAUUUCUACUUUCAUCAAAUUGAAUUUUAGUUAUUCAUUUUCCUUGACAUAGUUUACACACAUCAAUUGUGUUGCUUUGCUUGCUUGCUUUCCUUUCUUCAAUUUCCUUUUCAUUCUUUGUGUCUUCUUAAUUUCUUUUCUUUGUUAGUGUGCUGGAUUGUCAUAUUUGGUGUGCCACUUGGGUUUUUUUUUUCUUGAUUUUGUUUAUUUAGUUCAAUAAAGAACUAAAAGAGAGAAUUAAGUGUGGUAAAAGGCAAAAGUUUGUGAGAUCAUUAUAGGGUAAAAGCCAAUUUGUGUGUUAAACACGAGAGUUAAGUGACAUCAAAAUUGAGUGAAAUACGUGAGGGAGUGUUGUGAGGUCUUUUUGCUAACAUUCUUUUCAGAUCACAAAUAUGUCAAAAGAUCAAGAAGCUAUAGACCAAUCAAUCAUGCUCAAAGCCAUGCAACAACAAUUUGAGCACAUGAAUCUGAUGUUUGGAGAGAUCCGUGACAAAUUGGAGAGGCAAGACACUGCCAUAGCCAAUCUACAAAGGGGGCAACAACCAAUAGCUCCUAAUGUAAGAGGUAAUCAAGGGCGUGCUGUCAUGGGAGAAGAAGAUAGCAAUGACAUAGAUGAUUUUGAUGACCAGGCCACCGUUGACAUGCGUGGAAGAGAUAAUAGAAGGGCAAGACGUAUAGAUCGUGAUUUGGGGAGUAUCAAACUGCAAAUUCCUUCUUUUCAAGAUAAAAAUGAUCCGGAAGCUUAUUUGGAGUGGGAAAAAAAGGUGGAGCUAGUAUUUGAUUGCCACAACUACUCUGAGGAGAAAAAGGUAAAACUAGCUGCUGUUGAAUUUACUGAUUAUGCUAUUAUUUGGUGGGAUCAACUUGUUUUGAGUAGGAGAAGAAAUCGUGAAAGGCCUAUAAACACUUGGGGGGAGAUGAAGGCCAUCAUGAGGAGGAGAUUUGUUCCUAGUCAUUAUUAUAGGGAGCUGCACCAAAGGCUUCAAAGUCUUACACAAGGUUCUAGAAGUGUGGAAGAUUACCACAAGGAGAUGGAAAUAAUCAUGAUUCGAGCCAACAUUGAAGAAGAACGAGAGGCCACUAUGGCAAGAUUUUUACAUGGUUUAAAUCAAGAUAUCGCUAAUGUGGUUGACUUCCAGCACUAUGUUGAGUUGGAAGACAUGGUUCACAUGGCCAUGAAAGUGGAACGACAACUGAAAAAGAAAGGUUCCACUAGAACCAAUUUGGGUUAAUCUUACUCAUGGAAGUCAAAAUGGAGCAAAGAUGAAAAGGUUGUUUCAAAGCCUAAGAUUGAGCCAAUAAAGGAUCAUAAAGAGGGAGGCAACCAAAGCAAAGGUAAAUCUGAUUCCCAACACUCUAGAAUCAGAUGAUGAUCCUAUGCCACCUUUGGAGGAUGCUAAUGAUGGUGUAGAAUAUCUUGUUGAUGGUAAAUUGAUGGUUGCUAGGCGUGCUCUCAACAUGCAAGUAAAAGAGGAUGCGGAGGUACAACGUGAUAAUUGAUGGUGGAAGUUGUACUAAUGUAGCUAGCACUAGUUUAGUUGAAAAAUUAAAUAAGAGAGUAAUGAUCUUGAGGGAUGAUGGUGACGUUGAAACCGAGAGUGAAUCAGAUGAUGAUCCUACUCCACCUUUGGAGGAUGCUAAUGAUGGUGUAGAAUAUCUUGUUGAUGGUAAAUUGAUGGUUGCUAGGCGUGCUCUCAACAUGCAAGUAAAAGAGGAUGCGGAGGUACAACGUGAUAAUUGAUGGUGGAAGUUGUACUGAUGUAGCUAGCACUAGUUUAGUUGAAAAAUUAAAUAAGAGAGUAAUGAUCUUGAGGGAUGAUGGUGACGUUGAAACCGAGAGUGAAUCAGAUGAUGAUCCUACUCCACCUUUGGAGGAUGCUAAUGAUGGUGUAGAAUAUCUUGUUGAUGGUAAAUUGAUGGUUGCUAGGCGUGCUCUCAACAUGCAAGUAAAAGAGGAUGCGGAGGUACAACGUGAUAAUUGAUGGUGGAAGUUGUACUGAUGUAGCUAGCACUAGUUUAGUUGAAAAAUUAAAUAAGAGAGUAAUGAUCUUGAGGGAUGAUGGUGACGUUGAAACCGAGAGUGAAUCAGAUGAUGAUCCUACUCCACCUUUGGAGGAUGCUAAUGAUGGUGUAGAAUAUCUUGUUGAUGGUAAAUUGAUGGUUGCUAGGCGUGCUCUCAACAUGCAAGUAAAAGAGGAUGCGGAGGUACAACGUGAUAAUUGAUGGUGGAAGUUGUACUGAUGUAGCUAGCACUAGUUUAGUUGAAAAAUUAAAUAAGAGAGUAAUGAUCUUGAGGGAUGAUGGUGACGUUGAAACCGAGAGUGAAUCAGAUGAUGAUCCUACUCCACCUUUGGAGGAUGCUAAUGAUGGUGUAGAAUAUCUUGUUGAUGGUAAACACUCUUGUACCAUUAACACCUAGGCAAGUGUAUGAGGAUCAAAUGUCAAUACAAAAAGAGAGUGAUACAAAAAAUGAAAAUGAGAGUACAAAAUAAAGAGAGAUGGAGAGAAAAGCAAGUGAAAAGAUAGAAAAAAAUAUUGUUGAGAGAAAAGAGAGGUAGCAUGUGAACUUGUUUGCAAAAGAGAGCGAGGUUAAGAGGGCUUUCUUUUCAAAACAACCUAUCGUUGUACUUUUGUGCAAAGAGGCUUGUUUACACACUAAUGAGCUUAACUUUUCUUUGCCUAGAGCUAUUGUGACUCUUUUGCAGGACUUUGAUGAUGUGUUUCCAAAUGAAGUCCCUAACGGUUUGCCACCCAUUAGGGGAAUUGAGCAUCAAAUAGACUUCGUCCCUGGAGCUACGAUUCCUAAUAGACCUGCAUAUAGAAGUAACCCCGAGGAGACAAAAGAGCUUCAAAGGCAAGUUGAAGAACUCUUGGCAAAAGGAUAUGUGAGGGAGAGCAUGAGUCCAUGUGCGGUACCAGUUUUACUAGUGCCCAAAAAGGAUGGAACAUGGAGGAUGUCCGUUGACUGUUGUGCAAUUAAUAAAAUCACUGUAAAGUAUCGACAUCCUAUUCCUAGACUUGAUGACAUGCUUGAUGAAUUGCAUGGUUCUUGUGUGUUUAGUAAAAUUGAUCUUAAAAGUGGGUAUCAUCAAAUUAGGAUUAGAGAGGGAGAUGAGUGGAAAACUGCCUUUAAAACAAAAUAUGGUUUAUAUGAGUGGUUAGUGAUGCCAUUUGGGUUAUCUAAUGCACCUAGCACUUUUAUGAGGUUAAUGAGAAAAGAAGUUAUAACAAUAACAGUGAAAAAGAAACUAAAACUUUUGAAAUUGAGUGUGAUGCUUCAGGUAUAGGUAUUAGAGCUGUUUUGAUGCAAGAAGGGCGUCCAAUUGCUUACUUUAGUGAGAAAUUGAGUGGAGCAGCCCUAAAUUAUCCUACCUAUGACAAGGAGAUGUAUGCAUUGGUGCGAGCAUUGGAAACUUGGCAACAUGAUCUUCUACCUAAAGAGUUUGUUAUACACACCAAUGACGAGUCCUUGAAGCAUUUGAAAGGGCAAGGUAAGUUGUAUAAGAGACAUGCCAAAUGGGUUGAAUUUAUUGAGCCAUUUCCUUAUGUGAUCAAAUACAAACAAGGUAAGGAGAAUGUGGUGGCUGAUGCAUUAUCUAGAAGAUAUGCACUUAUCUCUACAUUAAAGAAUUAUAUGUUAAUGAUCCUGAUUUUGGUAAUGUGUUUAAUGCUUGUGAGAAAGUUUCAUUUGGUAAGUUCUAUAGGCAUGAUGGGUUCUUAUUUAGAGAAAAUAAAUUGUGUGUGCCUAAUAGUUCAUUGCGUGAAUUGCUUGUGCGUGAAGCUCAUGGGGGAGGUUUAAUGGGACAUUUUGGCAUUGCAAAGACUUUAGAUGUUUUAAAAGAACAUUUCUUUUGGGCACAUUUAAAACAUGAUGUUGAAAGAAUAUGUGAGAAGUGUAUCACUUGUAAACAUGCUAAGUCUAGAGUUUUACCCCAUGGAUUGUAUAACCCUCUGGGUAUGAACCUUGGGUUGAUAUUUCUAUGAACUUUGUUUUGGGUUUACCUAGGUCAAAAAGGGGAAAAUAUUUUGUUUUUGUUGUUGUUGAUAGGUUUUCAAAGAUGGCACAUUUCAUUCCACGUCACAAAACUGAUGAUGUAACAAACAUAGCUAAUUUAUUUUUCAAGGAAAUAAGGAGCAUAGUUUCAGAUCGAUAUGCUAAGUUCUUGAGCCACUUUUGGAAAACUUUGUGGGGUAAGUUGGAUACUAAACUUUUGUUUUGUACUACUUGUCAUCCACAAACUGAUCGACAAACUGAGGUUGUAAAUAGCACUCUAUCUACUUUAUUGCGUGCCAUUAUUCAAAAGAACUUGAAAACUUGGGAAGAAUGUUUGCCACAUGUUGAAUUUGUUACAAUAGAACUGUCCAUUCAGCUACUAAAUUUUCACUAUUUGAGAUUGUAUAUGGUUUUAAUCCAUUAACUCCUUUGGAUUUCUGCUGUACCGUACAUCCGCCUUGGCCGUACAGCAGUGAUGAUGUGUUUCCAAAUGAAGUCCCUAAUGGUUUGCCACCUAUUAGGGGAAUUGAGCAUCAAAUAGACUUAGUCCCUGGAGCUAGCAUUCCUAAUAGACCCGCAUAUAGAAGUAACCUUGAGGAGACAAAGGAGCUUCAAAGGCAAGUUGAAGAACUCUUGGCAAAGGGAUAUGUGAGGGAGAGCAUGAGUCCAUGUGCGGUACCAGUUUUACUAGUGCCCAAAAGUGCACCAUUAACUGAAAUUGUGAAGAAACAUGUGGGAUUUAAGUGGGGUAGUGAACAAGAAAGGGCAUUUAAUCUAAUUAAGGAGAAAUUGGUUUCUGCACCAUUACUCGCUUUACCCGAUUUUGGUAAAACUUUUGAAAUUGAGUGUGAUGCUUUAGGUAUAGGUAUUAGAGCUGUUUUGAUGCAAGAAGGGCGUCCAAUUGCUUAUUUUAGUGAGAAAUUGGGUGGAGCAGCCCUAAACUAUCCUACCUAUGACAAGGAGAUGUAUGCAUUGGUGAGAGCUUUGGAAACUUGGCAACAUUAUCUUCUACCUAAAGAGUUUGUUAUACACACUGAUCAUGAGUCCUUGAAGCAUUUGAAAGGGCAAGGUAAGUUGCAUAAGAGACAUGCCAAAUGGGUUGAAUUUAUUGAGCCAUUUUCCUAUGUGAUCAAAUACAAACAAGGUAAGGAGAAUGUGGUAUCUCUACAUUAAAUGCAAAGUUGUUAGGAUUUGAGUACAUUAAAGAAUUAUAUGUUAAUGAUCCUGAUUUUGCUAAUGUGUUUAAUGCUUGUGAGAAAGUUUCAUUUGGUAAGUUCUAUAGGCAUGAUGAGUUCUUAUUUAGAGAAAAUAAAUUAUGUGUGCCUAAUAGUUCUUUGCGUAUCGGCGUGCGUGAAGCUCAUGGGGGAGGUUUAAUGGGACAUUUUGGCAUUGCAAAGACUUUAUAUGAAACAUGAUGUUGAAAGAAUAUGUGAGAAGUGUUUUACUUGUAAACAUGCUAAGUCUAGAGUUUUACCCCAUGGAUUGUAUAACCCUCUGGCCAUACCUAGUGAACCUUGGGUUGAUAUUUCUAUGGACUUUGUUUUGGGUUUACCUAGGUCAAAAAGGGGAAAUGAUUAUGUUUUUGUUGUUGAUGAUAGGUUUUCAAAGAUGGUUAUGGUUUUAAUCCAUUAACUCCUUUAGAUUUAUUACCUUUGCCUAUUGAUGAGCGUGCUAGUAUGGAUGGUAAAAAGAAAGCUGAAUUUGUGAAGCAAUUGCAUGAGAGAACACAUCAACACAUAGAAAAGAGAACUGAACAAUAUACUACUCAAGCCAACAAAGGACAUAAGCAAGUUGUUUUUCAGCCUGGAGAUUGGGUUUGGGUGCAUAUGAGAAAGGAGAGGUUCCCAGCACAAAGGCGUUCCAAGUUGCUUCCAACGGGAGAUGGUCCAUUUCAAGUGGUUGCACGAAUAAAUAACAAUGCCUACAAAUUGGAUCUUCCUGGUGAGUAUAAUGUGAGUGCUACUUUUAAUGUUUCUGAUCUUUCUCUUUCGAUGUAGGUGAAGAUUCGAGGACGAAUACUUUUCAGGAGAGGGGGAAUGAUGAGAACCAUCAAGGGAAUACCAUAAAAACUUCAAGUAAUCCUUUGCACAUUCAUGGAGGUCCAAUUACAAGAGCAAAAGCCAAAAAGAUGCAAGCUGCUUUAAAUGGAUUAAUUGAGAAAAUAUGGAUUGAAAAUGUAAUUCAAGAUGCAAGACAUCAUGAAUUGGGCUUGAAGAGAAGACAAGGCAUUGUGGGCAUUAUUCAAGUUAUUGGGCAGUCAAAUACACAAUUUGUAUCAAAUGCAGAAAGGUCAAAUUCGGAAUACAAACUGUAUUGAUUGAGCCAGAAGUAAUGUGCAAUCUAUAUACCGUUAGAAAGAUAAUUAAGUUAGCUUUCCAAUAAAUUUUGUAGAGCUGGAUUUGGAGUUUUCUAGAAGGAGUUAUGACCAAUGCAUUACAGCUUGUUCAGACUUGAGAUUUUCAACGACUCCUUUGUUUUUCAACUUCAUUUGUUUGUUUUGUUUCAAGUUUGUCAAUGUGUAAGGUAAGUCUACCAUCAAUGAUGGUGGGCUAACAUUAAGUUUGUCAAUGAUAGCAUUAAUUAUAGUAGGCUAGCAUUAAUUAUGGUGGGUUGGUAAAGACUUUUGAAACAUCCUUUGACAAACCUACUUGGAGGGUUGUUCCAAUGUUUCCAUUUGUAUUUUUAGGAUCUUGGGUUUCUUUUAGCCUAUUUAAAUUCAGCAACCUUGUAUGUAAUAAUAUUAGAGAUUAAUGUUAUUUGAAUUUGAAAGAUUAUUCUUUCUUUGGUUUUUAGCCUAUUUAAAUUCCACUCACCUUCUCAUCUAUUUCUUGAGUGUGGCAUCAAAAUCAUUCUCUAUACCUUUGGUUCAUGUUUUCUUCAGCAUUGGGUCAAGGUUUUGUUUGUCAUAAAUCUAUUUAGAACUUUCUUGGGAAGGUGAAACUACAAAUUAAGUGUGGGUUUCAAAGUUUCAUUGUGGGAUUCGCAUCAGGAUGAAUUCUCCUUAUAAAGGAAAAUUCAAUGCUGAUGCCCUAUCCUCUUUUUCAAAAGCAAAAGCGAAAGAUUCCCGACAGGACGUGACCCCUAUCUUUUGGAAUUUAGCUGAAGAUAAAGCAAAAGGAAGAUGCUUUAAAGUAAAGCAAACACUUUGCUUUUACGAAAGCAAAAGCAAUUAUUACAAAGUAAAGAGUUCUCAAAAGCUGAUAGAUUGUCAACAUCACUAUCAACUUCUCCAAAUGGCACUUGCCACCACUGCAAGUUUUCAUAAUAUGGUCUGGUAGGUGAGCCUGUUGGUGAAUCUGUCAUCAUCAGUAGAACAGUACUUGUAGAGGGUGCAUGUGAAUCUGUUGGUGGGGUUGUGUUCGAGAAGUGAGCAUGGGAGCUUCAGAAGGAUGAAGGAUUGAAGUGAAUUCUUCCCAUGGGUCUUGCGAAUCUUGAAACAUGAUAUCUGUAAAAUCAUGCUUUUCUUCUUUGAUCAAAAUUCCAGUGGGAGGAGGAUUACUGGAUGUAGGUGAUCUGAUAGUUGGGAUAGUCAUGAGUUCAUGUUUUGGUCCAAGGGAGGUGUGCUGGAUGUCAGUAGGAGGGGACUGGACAUUGUUUAACUCAAAGAGGUAUUGUUUUAGGGCAGAGACAAGGUUUGGGUCAUGAUCCAGAGGAAAACUAUGAAGAACAGUUUUCAAUUCUUAAGCUUGGUCCUGAGUCCAAAAAGGUUUGGUAACGGGGUGUUGGAAAUAAGGACGAUGGAUAAUGAAGACGGAGGUGAACUGUUCUCCUUCCUUGUCAGGGAGGAGAUUGAUAUGGUGAUCCUUGAUGAUGGAGUCAAGUUGUUUUCUCCACCAAGAGAGAGGAGAAAACCAUUCAAAGAGUGUCCAUGUGAGAGAAUGAGCCUGGUGAUGAGAACCAUCAAGGGAAUACCAUUAAAGCUUCAAGUGAUCCUUUGCACAUUCAUGGAGGCCCAAUUACAAGAGCUAGAGCCAAAAAGAUGCAAGCUGCAUUAAAUGGAUUAAUUGAGAAAAUAUGGAUUGAAAAUGCAAUUCAAGAUGCAAUACAUCAUGAAUUGGGCUUGGAGAGAAGACAAGGCAUUAUGGGCAUUAUUCAAGCUAUUGGGCAGCCAUAUACACAAUUUGGAUCAAAUGAAAAAAUGGCAAAUUCAGAAUUAAUGUGCAAGCUAUAUACGUUGGAAAGAUAAUUAAGUUAGCUUUCCAAUGCAUUUUUACAGAGUUGGAUUUGGAGUUCUCUAGAAGGAGGUAUGAUCAAUUUUUUACAGCUUGUUCAGGCUUGGGAAUUCAAACGACUCCUUUGAUUAUUCAACUUCAUUUAUUUAUUUUGUGUCAAGUUUAUCAAUGUGUUAGGUAAGUCUACCAUUGAUGAUGGUGGGCUAGCAUUAUGUUGUUAAUGCUAACAUUAAUAAUGGUGGGAUGGUGAAGGCUUUUAAAGCACCCUUUGACAAACCUAUACUUGGAGGGUUGUUCCAAUGUUUCCAUUUGUAUUUUUAGGAUCUUGGGUUUCUUUUAGCCUAUUUAAACUCAGCAACCUUGCUAUGUAUGACAAUUAAGAGAUUAAUGUUAUUUGAAUUUGAAAGAUUAUUCUUUCUUUGGUUCUUUUGAGAACUAGUGAACUUAUCAAGAAUUUGCAUUCUUGUGGUGUUCUAAAUUUAGACUUAUCACUCACCUUCUCAUCUAUUUCUUGAGUGUGGCGUCAAUAUCAUUCCCUAUACCUUUGGUUCAUGCUUUUCUUAAGCAUUGGGUCAAGGUUUUGUUUGUCAUAAAUCUGUUUAGAACUUUCUUGGGAAGUUGAAACUACAAUUUAAGUGUGAGUUUCAAAGUUUCAUUGUGGGAUUUCGUAUCACCUGGUUUGGCUCUAUGAGGCAUCGAAACAUUGUUUGUACUGGGAAGACAAGUUUGGUGGCGUAUAAGACAGUAAGGCACCAUAUAUACCACAAUUCGUCUUCUGUGACAUCCCUGGAAGGAUUGAUUUUUAGGCCUGUAAGGAAGAGGUGAUUCGGAUGAAAACUUGGGAAUCCGGUUAUCUGGGUGCGAUAGAUAUUCAUGAAAUAUCGAAAAACAAACUUCUUUGCAAAAUCUUGGAUUUGGUAAGGACUAGAGAAAGUGAGAUUACAAAGAAAAGAUUUUUUUUGUCAAAGUUGUGUUGGGAAGAGAAGAAGCCAUGAAUAUGACUGGGACUGAAGGAAAAGAGACUCUUAGAGAUGAAGAUGAAGGUCUGGACAAGAGAUCAGGGAUGAGGUUCUGGUCUCCUUUUAUAUUUUGAAAACCAAGUUUUGAGUCGGAGGAGGUGUUUGUUUGGGAGGACCUUAUUCUUGAAUUCAAGGAUUUUUAGGAAAGAGGAAUUGUCUAAUCUGACAAGGAAAUUAUGGCCAAUAAGAUGAAAUCCAAUUUUUUGAAUCCCAUAUUUAACGGCUAGAAUCUCUUUGUAGAUCACAUGAUAAUGUUUUUUUGACCUUUGAAUUGUCCACUAGCAUGGGCACAGUAAGAUUCUUUACCGUCAUGGUUUUCUAAAAGGACGGCCCUCAGUAUUCAUCACUCGUAUCAAUCUGUAGAAUACGCUGACCAUCAAUGGGGAUUCUCAAAGGAGGUGGAUGCUGGGCGAUGCUUUUAAGAUGUUGGAUGGCAGCAGUCUGAGAGGGACCCCAUGGUGGGGCUGAUUUUCUAAGCAUUUUUGAAAGCUGACUGGUAUGAACUGCUACAUGUAGAAAGAAUUCCCGAAGGUAAUUGAUAAUACCAAGGACUUGUUGAAUCUGCUUUUUUGACAAAUGUUCAUCUGGAAAAUGAAUGAGUUCCUAGACUCUGUGUGGACCAGGACUAUAGUAUCCAUCUUUUAGAGUCAUGCCAAGAAAGGUAAUAGUGUUUUGGCCUAGGACACUCUUUUUGUUAGACAACAUUAUGCCAUAUGUUUCCACUAUCUCAAGAAAGUGGGAAAGUAAUUGUUGGUGGGAAUCAUGAUCUUUGGAAAAUAAUAGCACGUCAUCUAUGUAGAUAAGUGCAUGAUGAAGGCUCAGUUCAAAGAUCUUGAUCAUGGCCUUUUGGAAAAGUGAGGGGGCUACCUUAAGGCCAAAUGGCAUUACUUUCCAUUGGUAGUGGGCAUUUGGAAUGCAAAAAGAUGUUUUAGGUCUAUCAUCAGGGUGGAUUCCUAAUUGCCAGAAACCUGCCUUAAGGUCAAAUUUUGAGAAGACCUUAGCAUUUUGGAUAUGGACGAAUAAGGAUUGGAUUUUUGGCAAAGUGAACUUAUCGUCUCUGAGAAAACAAUUGAGAGGCUGGGAAUCAAUAACAAGACAUUUUUUUCCUCUAACUAUUUCAGACAUUUUUUCCACAUAAAAAGCUUGACAAGCCCAUUCUGAAUUUGUGGGCUCAAUAAGGCCUUGUUUCAGCAAUUGGGAACAUUCUUCUUGGGCUAGUUUCAGGUCGGUCGGAGUCAUUCCUGGAUGGGUAGCCUUGGCUGGGUUAAUGUCUUCGUUAAGCUUAAAAGGAAGCUUAAUGAAGAAGUUUUCAUUUUUCCAGAGAGGGGUAGGAUGAAGAAAUUGACUAUGACUUUCUGGACAAUGAAGAAGAAAACUGGAUUUGAGAGGAUCAUAUGAAGGAGGAGAGCUUGAGAUCGAGAACAAUUUCAGGGAAUCUGUUAGAAAACCAUGACGGUAAAUUUCUUCAUCCUAUGAUCCUCUCAAAUGAUCCUUGUUUCAGCCAACGGGCUUUUUGGUAAUCAAAUCUGUGUGAAAUAAUUCUCCAUUGGCUGCCUUGAAAUAUUCUGUAUGCUUUUCCCAAGAAUGGGAUGGAAGGAUUGAGGGGUUAAGCAUACUCUUCUGAGCUCCAGUAUAAACAAAACCAAUGAUGGGAAUUGGUUUUUCAAAUUUUCUAGAGAGAAGGUGGAUUUUGAUUGAAGGGAUGGGAAUGGCUGGUUGGACUUUCUGAAUUUGUUGAACAGUUUUAAAUACAGAAAUAUGUUCUGACUCAGAAUAAUCUUCUUUUUCAGUAAGAACAAAAGCUGUUUGUUCAUCAUAAUCUUCUUGUUCAUAAAAGAAGGAUUUAACAUCAUCACUUUCUAAAAGUAACAUGGAAUCCUAGAGAUGCUCAAUAAGCCUGACAGACUUUGCUGGUCUGUUUGGAUAAUUUCUCGCGAAAUGCCUUUUCUUUUUACAGAUAAAACAACGACAGCUCUUGGAUUUAGAGGACUGCUCAGGGUUCUUUUUUCUGAAAAAUCGAUAAGGUUUUUUGGAUCUGGAAGGUGUAUGGCUUUUCUUUUCUGAAUUUCAGAAUUUUCGGAAGUGGGAUUUCUUUUUGGUUGAGCAAGUGCAAUCCUUCUCACUUUUGCACUGAAUGGAAAGGUGGGGUUUUUGCACGCACUUUUAAAAGGUUGUUUGUUUUCUAUGAGGUCUUUGAAGAAUUCCUUCUGUUCAUAGAGUCUUUCCAAACAGUUCAUUGCUAAUUGAUAGAUUUUUCCCAAGGAGAGGUUGGCUAUAUCCAGCUGGUGGAUUGUGAUUUAUUUCUGAAGUUUUGGUUGAAUCUCCUUCGGAAGAGAUGCUACAAAGACAUGUUUUUAUGAGGGAUCAUUAAAACCGUUUGAGCUUGUAAUACAUUGUAGACAUUCUCUUGUAGUGAAAAUCUAGAUCUUUAAUUUGGAGAGAACAUCACUUCAUUAAAUGGAAUUCUCGUCUGGUUUGUUUAUUAGCAGCUAUAGCUUCUCCAAGGAACUGCUCAUAAAUUACUCCUAGGACUUUUGAAAUCUUUGCUUGAAUUACUUGAAGUUGACGGUAUGGACCUAGACUUUCAAACCAAUCUCGUAAGGAUCCAAUGAAACGAGAACUGAACUCCUUAAGGACUGUUUGGGUUGUUGCUCCAGUUCUGAGCAUUUGACCAUCAAUCCAGGCAGAACAUUCUUGAAAUCUGGCUGGCCAUUUUACUCUUGGAAUGUCAUCAAAGGUAAACCAAGGGCCAUUGGAAGGUUUAGGAGGAGAAUUUUCUUAAUGAGGUGUAGGGUUGGUAUUAGAAUUUGCUUCCUCAACUAUAGGUGUUUGAGGAGGAGAGGAUGGGGAAGGUUUAUUUGAUCCUGUUGAUGGCUGGACCAUGAGGAGUUUGGAAACAUCUACUAAUUCUUUUUCAGAAUCUGAAGUAGAAAAGGAUUCUUCGUCUGUAGAGAUUUCUUCUGUUUGGGAUGGAGAAGUUUCAUAUGAUUCUGAAAGAUAUGGUAGAACUUGGGAUGAGUAUUGGUGCAUUAGUUCUUUGUUCUUCUGAGUAGAUUGAGGUUCUGGAGAAGGCUGUGGAUCAUUGGGUUGGUGGUAAGUUGGAGGUGAUUCAGGCUUAGGAGGUUUAGUCCGUGGUUUUGGAGGAGCAUGAGUUGGAGCAUGCUUAAGGUGGGACAGAACAAAGAAUUUGGCAUAAUCUACAAGUUGUCAUGAGGUGGAUGGUGUGUAUAAAGGUUGGUAAGUACUGAAAGUUGGGGUGUAUAAGGGUAACGCAGGGGAUUUUGCAAACAAUGAAGGUUGUUAUUUGUCAGCAUCAAUCCUGGCAAGUUCAGCUUUCAACUGCCUAAUCUUUGCUUCGUUUUGGUUGAAUUCAGGACCCCAAUAUCUAUUUUGAAUCAUGGAUCGAAGAUCUGAGUCAAGUUGGGAGACUCAAUUUUGCAUGUCAAAAUACAUAUGUUCGAGCUGGGUUGUUAUCUUGUUAACCUUUGUGUUAGUUUGCUUGACCUGAGAAGCGACUUUCUCUAUUUUUUCAUCAAGAGAUCUAAAGGUUGAGUUCUGUGCCCUAGCAUUUUGAGUUUGCCAGUUUAGAACAGCUUUGAAAGUCUUUGGUUCCUCAAGCUGGCCAUUUGGUGUAACAGGGGAAUGGACAAAAGGUUUGGUGGUGACCUUUGUCUGGGGAUCAGUCUAUUUUUCUAGAGGAGGAAAUUGCUCAUGAUAGGAGCUUGAUGAGAACAUCAUGCAAGACUGAAUGGGUGUUGGAUGUGGCACGAGCUGUGGCACAAGCUGGGUUGCCUUUUGUCUGCAAGGUUUUUGACUAUACUCCUUCUGUAUGAGUCUCAGGCCUUUCCUAUAAAUAGGCAAAGGCGUUAAACCAUCUGGAUCAUCAAGUGGUAAAGGAGGUUUUUUAUUGCAAGGAUCCAUUUUGUGACUUUUCUUUUUACGCCGUCUAGGACAUCUGUUGAAAUCAUCAUCAUCAUUAUCAUCUUCCUCUUCAAGGCAAGGAAAAUCUGGAUCACACAUACGGGACCCUAGAAUGUCUCAUAAGAAAUUACCAUUGAUUUUUUCUGGGUAGAUCGGAUAGCCAUUUGGGGCAAAUUCAUGGAUGGGAAUAUUUUCUUGUGCCGUUGAUACGGCUGUGAUCAUGGAGGAGUAUGAAAAGGAGUUUCUGGGUGUGGAUUGUUCAGAGGGUGGAUGAGAGACUAUAGGUGGUGUCUGGGAAGUGGAUGGUGACUGAAAAAUGAAUUUUACUGUUCCAUUUGAUGAGAACCAUCAAGGGAAUACCAUUAAAAGUUCAAGUGAUCCUUUGCACAUUCAUGGAGGCCCAAUUACAAGAGCAAGAGCCAAAAAGAUGCAAGCUGCUUUAAAUGAUUAAUUGAGAAAAUAUGGAUUGAAAAUGCAAUUCAAGAUGCAAGACAUCAUGAAUUGGCCUUGAAGAGAAGACAAGGCAUUGUGGGCAUUAUUCAAGUUAUUGGGCAGCCAAAUACACAAUUUGUAUCAAAUGCAGAAAGGCAGACUUGGGAUUUUCAACGACUCCUUUGUUUUUCAACUUCAUUUGUUUGUUUUGUUUCAAGUUUGUCAAUGUGUAAGGUAAGUCUACCAUCAAUGAUGGUGGGCUAACAUUAAGUUUGUCAAUGAUAGCAUUAAUUAUAGUAGGCUAGGAUUAAGUUUGUCAAAGAUAGCAUUAAUUAUGGUGGGUUGGUGAAGACUUUUGAAACAUCUUUGGACAAACCUACUUGGAGGGUUGUUCCAAUGUUUCCAUUUGUAUUUUUAGGAUCUUGGGUUUCUUUUAGCCUAUUUAAAUUCAACAACCUUGCUAUGUAAUGGGAUUGGAGAUUAAUGUUAUUUGAAUUUGAAAGAUUAUUCUUUCUUUGGUUCUUUUGAGAACUAGUGAACUUAUCAAGAAUUUGCAUUCCAAAUUUAGACUUAUCACUCACCUUCUCAUCUAUGUCUUGAGUGUGGCGUCAAUACCAUUCUCUAUACCUUUGGUUCAUGUUUUCUUAAGCAUUGGGUUAAGGCUUUUGUUUGUCUUAAAUCUAUUUAGAACUUUCUUGGGAAGUUGAAACUACAAAUUAAGUGUGGGAUUGAAAGUUUCAUUGUGGGAUUCGCAUCACCAUUUGUUCUUUUUUCAAAGUGAGCAUCAAUUGUUUGGACCGGCUGAGAGUUUUGAUAGAAUUUUACAUAAUUGGAUAGCCAUUCUAGGGGCAUGAGCUUAAGAAGUUCCUGUUUUUGAAUUUGCCUAGGGAUCUGAACUAUGGAAGGGAUGCUUUCUGAGGAGUCUGCAAGGAUCAUCAGUGCAUCUGAUGUGGUUUGAGGUAUGGAAAGAUCAAGAGCAUGAUUUUAGAGGCGGUAUACCAGUUGAUGGUGUAAGGUUGCCAUUUUUGAGGAGGCUGUUUGUUCAGCUCCUUGGAUCUGGGUCUGGACCUUUAGAGUAGUGGGGAGGUUUGGAUCAUCUAGUGAGAGGUUGAAAUGUGGGUAAAAGGUCAAAAGAACACUUCCUGCAUGCAGAGUAGUCAGGAUUGUUCCUAUGAUUGCAUGUUGAUAUUCCUUGAAACGGGUAAGGCUAAUCUGGUUGUGGCAGGUAAGGCUUUUCUCCCGUGAAGGGUGAGAAUCAAACGAACGCCUCCAAGAUGGAGGUGUGUGUAUCCUUCUCUUUUCCACUGGACAACAAGGUGGAAUUUCAAGGGUAACAUAUUGUUCUACUUGUGAUGCUUGAAGAGCACACUGAUCCAGCCUGGAAGACUAGAUAUAUUCCUUUGGAGCUGGCCUUUUGGUUGAAAUGAGAGUUCUAAAACUUCUGGUGAAGGAAUUAGAUCUUUGGUAUAGCUUAUAUGGGCUGAUUAGGGGCAUAGAGGAUUCACUGAUCUGGGCCGACUCUGGAACAUACGAAUAUUCCACAAGGUUUUCUAUUUUCGAGGCUAGGUGUUUAUAAUAUGAUUUUGGGAGAGAAAGAGUAGAAGAAAGAGUAACAUGAGCAAGAUUAUCUAUAUUAUUUGAAGAAGAUGCCGUUUUGUUUUAGUAUUUCCUUUAUUUCCUAUUCAGGACGAAUAGAUCUCAUAUUUACCACUUCAUUUUAAUGAAAAGUAUUAUGCUCAAAGAUAGAAAAUAAUUGUAUGUGGCUUGUUAUACUAGCAGUGCAAACUGAUAUAGACCAUCAUAAUAUAUGUCACUGGUUUCCUGCCAAUAUACAAUAAUAUUCUAGCCUGUGAACAAAAAGUUUUGUUUGGCUUAGAGAUUUGAAAUGGCAUAAAUUUGAUGAGACUAUAUUGACCCCAAUCAACACUCUCAUUUUACAAAUUUGACAAGAGAAUAAAGAAUCUUGCUUAUUCCAAACUCUAAAGCUAGUCAAGAUGGCAAUGGAAAGUAGGGACUAGGGUAAGCAUUGUGAAUUUCACAAUGAUAAGGCCUAUUCAACCAAUGAAUGUGGAUUAUGGAGGAUCCAAAUUGUGUACAUUCUUUGACAAGGCAACUUAUAAAAAUAUCGUUGAAUUAAGAUCUGAAGUCAAAAUCACCAAAUCCUCUAAAUACUAAGGAGAAGAUGUUUGAUUUGGAGGAAAACUCAACCAAAUCAACUAUGGUUGGCUCUAUAAAUGGGCUUUGGAGGAUUAUAAUUUAGAGAAUUAUUCCUCAGAAGAAGAGAUGCUAGCAUAUUUGAAUACAAACAGUUUAGAAGAGAAUUUGUCUCAACCAAUAAUUAAUAUGAUUCAUGGUUCCAUUAAUGACUAUUUGAAGAAUCUAAAAAACAAAGAGUUGGUUUAGAUGGCUCAAAAAAUAAUGCAAUUAACUCUAAAUAAACUACAUUAAGCAACCGUUCAUAGCAAGCCUAUUAUAGAACUAAGUAGACAAAGUUGGAGAGCAAAAUAUGGAAGAGUAGCAAAAGUACAAGAAUUUGGCAUAUUGGCUGUAAUGUCAAUCUCAAAAGAUUUCACCCAAGUCAUCAUCACAAGAAAGGAUUUGGAAGGCAUCUACAUGCUUUAUAUUGAUCUAUUGGUUUUAGUCUCUCGAUUGUAGACAUUCAUAUUUGGCAUAUUUUGAUCGAUGAAGAAAGUAAUGUGAAAAUCCUAUACUAGGUUGUUUUCAAGAAUAUGAAGCUAAGUAAAAACGACGUAUGGGACAGCUAAGCCCCGAUGGUAGCAAUAAAGCAAGACUAGUAGCAAAAUGGAUUAUCAAUUUACCAAUACAGCUUGGGAAUAAAAUGUUGAAUACUAAUCUUUUGGUGGUGGAGGCACCAUCAAUCGACAAUGCCAUCUUGGGCCACCAUUAGAUUCAUUACAUGGAACCAGUUCCUUCAACCUUACAUCAAGUUAUAAGAAGCAUGUUUUAUUAGAACAACAAAUCCUUUGAUGAAAGCCAUCAUCCAUAAUUCAAGAAUAUUCAUGUUGUAUAAUCAAGAAUCAAUAACAGAAUAUGCGAAGCAUACCUGAAUCUAUAGUGCUUGAUUGCUCUUUUGAGUCGUGUGGUUUGUCUUCUAAAUUAACACGUUCCUCUAGAGAAUCUUUUAAGUUUCUCUAUGCUCUUCUUUGAUGAUGGGAUGCCAAAAAGACUAGAAUAAUGCAUGUGACCUACGGACCAUAACCAUUUAUAUAGACAACUUUUCCUAUUGUCUUUAGGUAUUCCUAUUUCAGCCCAUCAUAAGUGUCUACACAUUAAAGACACACACCCUAUUAAAUACAUUGAAGCUUAUACUACCAUAAAUCUUAAUAGGUUAUUUUUAAUUGGGCUUAACCUUAUUCACAUAUAAGUCUAACACUGGAUUAAGUAUCCAACAAAACUAGAUUAAAGAUCCAACAAUAUCACACUUGGGCUAUAUAUGUAACUUUAUAAUUAUGUUUUGUAUAAAUAACUAUAUGAGCUGAACUUUACUGUCAGUAUCAAAAUGUAUCUACAACCAAUCUGAUCUAUCAAUCAUACCAACAUAUGAUCAAAGCAGCCUUUGUUACAAUUAUUUUAACUUGACCCAUCAAAGGUCACUUUGCCAAUACAAUUAAAUGACAUGGAUAAUGAUGUGGAUGUGUAGCAUAAAAAUUUCAUGCAAUAUGAUCUUAACCUGCCUAUUCCAACUAGUCCACUUUAAAUCUUAGUGAGACCAAACCACAUUAAAAUCAGAGUGUAAAUAAACCAAAACUUUAUUUUUGUAGAAAAUUACCUGAAAUAUCCAUAAAUUGAAAUAACUGAAAAAAUUUCUAUAUUGUAAGAGAAUCUAAAAUUACAAACUGCCACUAGAACUGAAUAUCUUUUAAUAACACAACAUCCAUACUAGCAAUGUGCUCAUGACUUAUCUUAGGUGGCAAUCCCUUAGUAAACAGAUUUUCAAUCAUCAAGUUUGUGUCGAUGUGUUCUAUAAACAACUGUUCAUUUUGAACUCUUUCUUUAACAAUUAGGAACUUGAUGUCUAUAUAUAUCGACUUCGUCGAGCUCCUGUUGUUAUUGGAAUACAGCAUUGCUGACUUAUUGUAUAACUUGAGUGGUCUAUCAACACCAUCUACUAUACGCAACCCUAUGAAAAAAUUAUGUAGCCAUAUUCCGUGAUUGGAUGCUUCAUAACAUGUUAUGAACUUUGCUGUCAUCAUGGAUGAUACUACAAGAGACUGUUUAACAUUCUUUCAAGAGACAAUACCCUUAACUAGUAAAUAAACGUGGCUCGACGUGGACUUUAUAUUAUCUUGUCAUCUAGUAAAAUCAGAGUUAGUAUAGCCAAUGAUCUCAAGCGAGUUCGACCUCUGAUAUAUGAGUUCUCUAUAAGUAUCGCAUGAUCCAUUUGUCUACUUUCCAAUGGUCUACUCUUGGAUUACUUAAAUAUCUACGUAAUAGCCCAAUAACGUACAUAAUAUUCAGUUGGGUGCAAACCUAAGCAUACCUUAGACUUCCUAUUACUAACAUAUAAGGAAUCUUCUGUAUUUAUAGCUUAUCUCCAUUAACAACAAGGGUAUCACCUGGUUUGCAAUUUUGCGUGCCAUAUCCCUUGAGAAUCGCUUCGAUAUAGCUUUUUUGUGAUAAUUCAAGAGUACAUCGGGAGUGAUCCUAGUGUAUCUAUAUAGUACUACUCACCAAGAUCUUUCAUCUCAAAAUUCUUAGCUAAAAAUCUCUUGGUGUCAUGUAAUAGCCUAUAUCAUUACUGGUAAGCAAAAUGUCACCGACAUAUAAAACCACAAAAAUAUGCUUGCUCUCACAAUAUUUAUGGUAUAAAACCGAAUAUGAAAUAUCAACAAGGCAACCCAAGAGGGGGGUGAAUUGGGUUUCUAAUAAUUUUAUCAACUAAGAGCCUUAAUGCAAUUUAAAUAAAGCAAUCAAUUUCAAAAUAGACAAAUAAAUGUGCAAUAAAAAAUAAAAAGGUCGGAUAAGAGAGAACAAACACGUGAUUUUUACGUGGUUCGGCCAACCGUGCCUACGUCCACGCCUCCAAGCUCACCGGGCUUAAGGAUUUUACUAAGCAAGCCUUCAAGGCUUCAACCACACUUACAAUUGACUUACAAGUGUAUCCCAAUCUCUUAACCCAAGUGUAUCCCAACACUUACAAUCAUUCAAAGAUAAAGAUUACAAAUAAAUUUUCUCUCAAAUGAUAGCUCAAAGUGUGAAUAAAUGAAAUAAAAUCAUGUUUGAAGCUCAAUAAUAGUUGUGUACUCAAUAGUAAGCUCAAUGAUAACUGUUGGAUCUUAUUUUGUUUGAAUUUGAUUCGGUCAUUUUAUAGUUGGAACUGAAAACUAGCCGUUAUUGACUUCCUGCACACAAUUGGAUCGCCGUUUUACAUUUAUCGAAUAGCCGUUUGACUGAGGAAGUGACAUUGUGCCAAAAUUCAAAUUGUCAAAUCACCGUUAUCAAGAUGUCCGCUUAUCGUUAUCGCUCUAGAAUCCUGUCAAAAGAUAUCGGUUAUCCGUUUGACAUAAACAGUUUACCGUUUGCAAGAUGAUUGCUCUCUGGACUGUUAUCGGUUUACUGUUAUCAAUAAACAGUUUGCCAUUAUCUAAAAUUUGCUCUCUGGAAUGCAAAUCGGUUCUCCGUUAUCCAUAAACGAAUUUUCGUUGUCUGAAACUUGCUCUCUGGAAUGCAAUCGGUUCACCGUUAUCAAUAAAAAGUUUGUCGUUAUCUAAGAUUUGCUCUCUGAAAUGCUAUCAGUUUACCGUUUUCUAAUAAAUGGUUCACUGUUUUCUUAGAUUUUAUCAAUGAUCCAAUUAACAAAAUGUUUCAAUCUUAUCAAUUUAACAAUAUAAGUUAACAAUCUCUCCCUUUUUUAUGAUGACAAACAUUACAAGAUUAUGCAAAUUUACUUUGCCUAAGUAUGUGCUUCCCCUUAGUAUAUGGCCAAUUAAUUUUCUAACCAAAAGUAUAUGAAUCCAUUAAAAUUUUAUCAUAACAAAGAUAUAUAUAUAUAUAUAUAUAUCUUGGCCGUACAGCAGAUAUCUAUACAAAAAUUUUAAACUGUUCACUGUAGCGGAGCUUUGAGUGCACAGUAAUCUUUGAAAAUUUGCACUGUUCACUGUAGCGGGGUUUUGAGUGCACAGUAACCUUUGGAUCGUAUCUUUGAAUAGUAGAAUCUUUGUACAAGGAUUGAAAUACUAUACGGGUGAAGAGACAUGUGCGCUCUCACUUGUGUCCAGGGGACCACCCGAAAAGGAAAAUAUGUUUUUUUUUAUUAAGUAAAUAAUCAAAUUAUUAUUUACAAUGCUUUACCGGAGAGAAAAUCCCGAAACAAUCAUCUUCAUUUUCUUCUCCAAGAGAAAUAAAUGGCUCUUCAUCUUCUUCUUCUUCGUCUUCAAAAGUGUCAGCUACUGAGGACUUUGAUCUGGAAGUGAGGAGCUGUUCCAUGACUUUGAAAUACUCAUCUUCAGUUUUGGCGCUGGCCAAAAGGGAUUGGGCUUUGGACUUUUGGGUUAGGAAGAUCUGUUGGGCUUUGGGGUCUUUAAUGGUUUGAGGUAGAAAGCCUUUUGAACAAAGCCAAUCUUUAAUGAGGGGUUCUAUCAAUUUGGUUCGUUCAUCGAAUUUUGACCACCACUUGACUUUGAAAGUUCUUUGUAUGAUGAGUUGUUUUUCUUGGGUAUGAAAUUUGAAAUCCCACAUCCAUAUCCAUGGGAGGAAGAAAUUUGUACAAAACAGAGGAAGGGAGAAAACUGUUUUUCUGAAUAUGAUGGGGUAUAAUGGGCUUUAAAAAGGUUUAGACAAUGGUUGGCAUUUGGAGUUAGGAGUUGUGGUGUUGGGCCGAAAUAGUUCCACUAUUGUUGGAACCAGUUUGGAAGACUUUGGACGGUUAUUUUUGAAUUGAAGAAAAAUAACCAUGAAUGGGACUUUUUUGGGUUUUGUAAGAAAAAUGUGUUAAACCAGGCUUGUAGGUAAUCCCAAUAGGAAUAGUGAUACGAAUCCCACAAUGAAACUUUCAAUCCUACACUUAAUUUGUAGUUUCAACUUCCCAAGAAAGUUCUAAACAGAUUUAUGGCAAACAAAAACCUUGACCCAAUGCUUAAGAAAACAUGAACCAAAGGUAUAGAGAAGGGUAUUGACGCCACACUCAAGAAAAAGAUGAGAAGGUGAGUGAUAAGUCUAAAUUUGGAACACCACAAGAAUGUAAAUUCUUGAUAAGUUCACUAGUUCUCAAAAGAACCAAAGAAAGAAUAAUCUUUCAAAUUCAAAAUAACAUUCAUCUCCUUACAUACCAAGGUUGCUGAAUUUAAAUAGGCUAAAAGGAACCCAAGAUCCUAAAAAUACAAAUGGAAACAUUGGAACAACCCUCCAAGUAAGUUUGUCAAAAGAUGUUUCAAAAGUCUUCACCAACCCACCAUGAUCAAUGCUAUCUUUGACAAACUUAAUGCUAGCCUACUAUAAUUAAUGCUAUCUGCUGUACGGCCAAGGCGGAUGUACGGUACAGCAGCUUACACAUUGACAAGCUUGAAACAAAACAAACAAAUAAGUUGAAAAACAAAGGAUUCGUUGAAAAUCCCAAGUCUGAACAAGCUGUAAUGAAUUGGUCAUAACUCCUUCUAGAGAACUCCAAAUCCAACUUUGUAAAAUUUAUUGGAAAGCUAACUUAAUUAUCUUUCCAACGGUAUAUAGCUUGCAUUUUAAUUCUGGGUCAAUCAAUACAGUUUUUAUUCCGAAUUUGACCUUUCUGCAUUUGAUACAACUUGUGUAUUUGGCUGCCCAAUGACUUGAAUAAUGCCCACAAUGCCUUGUCUUCUCUUCAAGCCCAAUUCAUGAUGUCUUGCAUCUUGAAUUGCAUUUUCAAUCCAUAUUUUCUCAAUUAAUCCAUUUAAAGCAGCUUGCAUCUUUUUGGCUCUUGCUCUUGUAAUUGGGCCUCCAUGAAUGUGCAAAGGAUCACUUGAAGUUUUAAUGGUCCCUUGAUGGUUCUCAUCAAAUAGGCCAAGCAAUGUGGUAGACGCAUUUGGAAAUUUGGAGGAAAGGUUUUAAAUUUGUGGAGUUGGUCACCCCAUUGGUUUGGGCUCAAGACUUUAAGAAUAGUGGCCGUGGAAUAGGCCGGCUCAUAAUGGGUUUCACUGAGAAAGAAAUGUUUGAAUUUUACAAACUCAGUGGCUUCUAAAAUGCUUUGAUAGUAAGGCUGGGGUUUUGUUAAAUCCCAUGGUUUGAAAAACCAGCCUUUAGGAAAAAACUUUGAAAUUGCUUGGAAAGGAUUAGUGUGGUAAAAUCCAUCUUCCAUAGUUAAAACAUUUUGAAAAUGGAUUUUAUCAUACCAAUCGGAGGUUUUCUUUGAAAGAGUUGGCUGGGAAAGAACAAUCUGAGAAGACGAACUUUCACCAGAAAGAACAAUAGUUUGGCUUUAAGAAGAAGACUUUGUAAUUUCUUUAGAAGUUGGUUUUUCUUCCUCAGGGAUCUGAGAAAGGGCUUUAGAUUUUGAAAUGCCUUGUAAGGCAAGCAUAAGCUCAGGGGACCUUGUAAUGGAUUCCAUCCACUCUUUGACUUGUUGCUCAGAGGAGAUGGAUUUGUAUUGGGUUUCUUGUUGUUCUCCAACCAUUUCAAUCCAGGAUUUAAUGGGCAUGGCAGAAGAAAGCAGUUUGGAAGACUUUGGACGGUUAUUUUUGAAUUGAAGAAAAAUAACCAUGAAUGGGACUUUUUUGGGUUUUGUAAGAAAAAUGUGUUAAACCAAGCUUGUUGGUAAUCCCAAUAGGAAUAGGCCAAGCAGUGUGGUAGACGCAUUUGGAAAUUUGGAGGGAAGGUUUUAAAUUUGUGGAGUUGGUCACCCCAUUGGUUUGGGCUCAAGACUUUAAGAAUAGUGGCCGUGGAAUAGGCCGGCUCAGAAUGGGUUUCACUGAGAAAGAAAUGUUUGAAUUUUACAGACUCAGUGGCUUCUAAAAUGCUUUGAUAGUAAGGCUGGGGUUUUGUUAAAUCUCAUGGUUUGAAAAACCAGCCUUUAGGAAAAAACUUUGAAAUUGCUUGGAAAGGAUCAGUGUGGUAAAAUCCAUCUUCCAUAGUUAAAACAUUUUGAAAAUGGGUUUUAUCAUACCAAUCGGAGGUUUUCUUUGAAAGAGUUGGCUGGGAAAGAACAAUCUGAGAAGACGAACUUUCACCAGAAAGAACAACAGUUUGGCUUUGAGAAGAAGACUUUGUAAUUUCUUUAGAAGUUGGUUUUUCUUCCUCAGGGAUCUGAGAAAGAGCUUUAGAUUUUGAAAUGCCUUGUAAGGCAAGCAUAAGCUCAGGGGACCUUGUAAUGGAUUCCAUCCACUCUUUGACUUGUUGCUCAGAGGAGAUGGAUUUGUAUUGGGUUUCUUGUUGUUCUCCAACCAUUUCAAUCCAGGAUUUAAUGGGCAUGGCAGAAGAAAGUAUUUUUUCUUUAGAGGGAGUAUUUUGGGAUUCUAUGGAGUUCUUUGUAGGUUCGGUAUCUUUGAGAACAGCUUUACCUUUGUUUUUCUUCGGCGGCAUUAUCUGUUUUGCAAAAAUUCCCGAGUUAGAAAAUCAGGAACAAAAUUUGUAUCUCCUUUAAUAUAUUCAAUAUCAAAAUCAAAAACACUUAAAAUGGCUUGCCAUCGUGCAAAAAUUUGUUUUGAUGCAAUAUUUUGAACAUCUUUUUCCAAAACAUGUUUUGCAGCUUUGCAAUCAAUUCUAAGUAGAAAUUUUUGAUUUAAUAAAUCACUUUGAAAUUUUGUAAUGCAUAAAACAAUGGAAAGGAUUUCUUUUUUGAUAGUAGAAUAAUUUUUCUAGCAAUCAUUCCAAUGUGCAGAAACAUAUUGUACUAUCUGUUCUUUAUCAUUUUCUUUUUACUUUAAUAUGCCUCCAUAACCUAAAUCAGAUGCAUCAGUUUCAACAAUUUUAGGUAAUGUAGGAUUAGCAAGAUAUAAACAUGGGAUGCUUUUUACAGAAUUCUUUAUAAGCUUUACAACCUUGGUAUGUUCAUCUGUCCAAGGAACAGGUUUUUUCUUUAAUCUAUCAUGCAAAGGUUUAGACAUCCUAUUAAUGUUAGGACAGAAAUCAAGAACAUAAUUUAAACUUCCAAGAAAUCUUUGUAAUUGGGUUUUGUCAAGAAUUUUAUCAGGGAAUUUAUUUGCAAACAAAAGGGAUCGCUCGAUUGGAGUGAUUGUUCCUUUAGAAAUAUGAUAACCAAGGAAUCUGACUUUUGUUUGAAAUAAAGAAACUUUAGAACUGGAAAUUGCCAAUCCAGCCUUUCUGGUGGCAAAAUAAAAAGUCUUUAAAUNNNNNNNNNNNNNNNNNNNNNNNNNNNNNNNNNNNNNNNNNNNNNNNNNNNNNNNNNNNNNNNNNNNNNNNNNNNNNNNNNNNNNNNNNNNNNNNNNNNNNNNNNNNNNNNNNNNNNNNNNNNNNNNNNNNNNNNNNNNNNNNNNNNNNNNNNNNNNNNNNNNNNNNNNNNNNNNNNNNNNNNNNNNNNNNNNNNNNNNNNNNNNNNNNNNNNNNNNNNNNNNNNNNNNNNNNNNNNNNNNNNNNNNNNNNNNNNNNNNNNNNNNNNNNNNNNNNNNNNNNNNNNNNNNNNNNNNNNNNNNNNNNNNNNNNNNNNNNNNNNNNNNNNNNNNNNNNNNNNNNNNNNNNNNNNNNNNNNNNNNNNNNNNNNNNNNNNNNNNNNNNNNNNNNNNNNNNNNNNNNNNNNNNNNNNNNNNNNNNNNNNNNNNNNNNNNNNNNNNNNNNNNNNNNNNNNNNNNNNNNNNNNNNNNNNNNNNNNNNNNNNNNNNNNNNNNNNNNNNNNNNNNNNNNNNNNNNNNNNNNNNNNNNNNNNNNNNNNNNNNNNNNNNNNNNNNNNNNNNNNNNNNNNNNNNNNNNNNNNNNNNNNNNNNNNNNNNNNNNNNNNNNNNNNNNNNNNNNNNNNNNNNNNNNNNNNNNNNNNNNNNNNNNNNNNNNNNNNNNNNNNNNNNNNNNNNNNNNNNNNNNNNNNNNNNNNNNNNNNNNNNNNNNNNNNNNNNNNNNNNNNNNNNNNNNNNNNNNNNNNNNNNNNNNNNNNNNNNNNNNNNNNNNNNNNNNNNNNNNNNNNNNNNNNNNNNNNNNNNNNNNNNNNNNNNNNNNNNNNNNNNNNNNNNNNNNNNNNNNNNNNNNNNNNNNNNNNNNNNNNNNNNNNNNNNNNNNNNNNNUUUUUUAAAAAUAUUAUAUCACACUGUUUUGAUUUAAGUAAAUUGUUUAUUCGGUUUGAUUAACAUAACAAGCUUUAACAAUAUUUAAAUUCCUUGUUUUAGGUUUUUCAAUAAAUGGAAAAACAAGUUUUUCAUUUUUUGCUUUGAAGGAUACACUAUCAUAAUUGACAGUAUAAUGUGUUAUAAGAUUUAUAAAAGGAGUUCCCAAGAUGAUGGCAUGGUGAAUAUCCUUUGUGAGAACAAAAGAAGUUCUAAAUUCAAAACCAUUGUUAUGAAUUGAAGCUUCAACUUUAGUUUUACAUUGAGUUUUGAAUUAUUAGCGACAGAUAGUCUUUCUUUAGUUUUCUCAUGAAAUCGUUUGGGGACAAUAUCUUCCCUUAUGCAAUUUAAAUCGGCUCCAGUGUCAAAAAGGGCAAUGGCAUCAAUUGCAAAAUCAUCAGAAAAAAUUAAAGUGAUUUUAAUUAAAUAUUUUCUCGUGGUGAUUUGUUUUAAAACAAAUAGAAAAUCAUUGGGAACAGAUUCAAUGUUUUCUAAACUUUGAUCAUUAUUAUCACCAUUAUCAGAAUUGGAUUCAUUAUCUGAAUUAUCCUGUAAAUGUUUUUGCAAAAGAAGUUGGAUAGUCUCAGAAUCACUUUUUUGUUUUUCUUUUAAUUCUCUAAUCUCAGUUUUAAUGUCUUUAAUUUCUUUCUGAAGAUCUUGAAUACUGGGGGUAUUUUUCUUCGUUUUCUUUUUAUUCAAAAUCUCAGUAAGAUCAUAAGAGUUCUUUUUAACAAUUGGAACUUUAGAAGUUUCAACUUUAUUAAAAUCCAGAGUUUUCAAAAGCUUAUCAAGAUAUUCUUUUUGAAGACUUGGAUCGGAAAUAUUCUUUACGAGUUCAAAAAAAGUUUCUUGGUCUUUAGUCAAAACAUUGAUUUUCUUUAAAAAGGAAUCUGUUUCAGAUCCACUACUGCUAGAUGCAGAGGUAUCUGAGUCAAAAAGCUCAUCGACCUGAAGUGGGUCACUAUCUCCCGACAUGGAAGACUCAGAGUCUGAAGACUCUACCAUGAGAGGGGCAAUUUUGGAAAGGACUUCAUCAUCUAGGCCAAGCUCUUGGAGCUUCUUGUUCAUUCUGCAAUAUUUUGCAGUAUGGCCUUUUAUGCCACACUUAUGACAUAUGGCUUCUUUGUAAUUGAAAGGAGUAAAAGGGGUCUUUGGUUUGGCUCUAAAGUUUUUCUUUUUAGAGAAAUUGGGUUUUUUAUAAGGCCUCGAAGGUUUCUUAUAAAAAGAUUCUCUAAACUUUUGGAAUGGUUUCUUAUGGCUUUUGGAUUUGUAAUGUUUUCUGUGAGGUCUUGAAGAACAUUCACCAUUACAAUCCUUGGAAGUAGAGGUUUUAAAGGUCAUAGUUGAAUUGUUUACAAAAACCGCCUAAUUCUUUCUUAGACUUCUUAAGCUCCCAUUUAAGCCGUUUUUGUAAUUUCAAAUCUUGGCAGACCUUUAAACCUUCUUUGUUGACAAAGCUGACUAGCUCACCAUAAGUAAGAUCGUCAUAGGGAAUGCGAUUGUCAUAAAGGACUUUAAUAGAAUUCCUAACCUUUUCUCCUAAAAGGGUAGGUAAUCCUGCUAAGAAUUUUUCUUUCCAAGUAGUAUGAUUUGCAUCAUCUCUAAGAAAGAGUCUGGUGAAGAAAGUAGUUUUGUAGGUUUGGAACUCACUAAGUUUCCUACAUCUUAGAUUGUGUAGUAACUCAGAAUUUUUGUCUCUAAGGUGAGAAGAGUCACCUAUGAAAUGAAGAGAAAAAGUAACAAUUAGGGUUGCUACUGCAUCCUGAAUUGGGUUAUUGAAUUCAUCAUAGAUGGGGGUGCCAUCUUGAUCUCUUUGGAUAGGAUUAAGAAUAUCUAAUUGUUGCUCAUUGGUGAGAAGAUGAUCCUACCAUCCUUUAAGUUGACCAGUAAAACUGGCAAUAAGGAUUUAUGCAAUAGCCUUGUCAGAAGUUCCUGAUUGGGUUUUAUAGGCAUUGGCUGCCAUGGUCAUUUGUUGCAACAAUCCUAGUAUGUUGUAUUCCGACAUUCCAUCAAUAUUCUAUUCAUAGACAGAGGAUGCAUUAUAUCGAGAUUGGUUUAAUGCACUAGGCCUAUUGUCUAUGGUCAAAUCCAGAGGAGACUUGACUGUGGGAAGGGCUAAUUCCCAAUGGAUUUUGUUGGCUUUAGGAAUAGAAUCAUCUUUGAAGGCUUCUAAGUCUGAAGAGGCUAUAGAAGUUUGGUCAUCAUGUUCUAGUACUCCAAUCUUGCUAGAUUAGGGAGUAUCAGGAGCUAUUUGAACUUUACUAGAUGAAGAUGAAGCUGCUUCAAUCCUAUCUAGUUGUUCUCUAAUGGCUUUAGCAAAAUCUGAUUUUGACUCUUGAGCAAGCUUUUGGCUAGUUUUCGAAACCUGAAAAGGUUUGAAAAUAGGGUUUUUAAGCUUUUUGUCAGAAUCUGAUUUUGAUGGAACAGGAGAAACAGAGGAGAUGGCUAUGGUUGACUUUUGGAAUUGGUUUUCUAUCCUAGUCAACUGUUUUCUAAUGGUAUUUAAGUUAGUAUUGCAGAAAUUAUUCUGUUGGAUAAUACUACUCAAAUUGGCAUCAGAAUCAUUUGGUUUUGGGAUUUUGUAAGGUGAGGCUCUAAUUUGGACAGGAGGUUCACCGUGAUCAACAGUUAUACUCCGAAGAGGUGGGUGCUCAGAUUCUAUGGUUCUGUCACUAUCAAAGAGUUUCCACUCAGGAAUUUUCUUUCUAAUAGUUAUAGGGUUCGAUUCUUUAAAGGGAUUGAAAAUGUUGUUCUCAGAAGAAUAUAUUUCGAACCAAUCAAAAAACAAUAUAUGAACUUGAUGUAAGUUUACAAAUUCAUAAUAAACUUGUUGGAUUUCUUUUCUUUGAUUUAGAAAAUAUUUAAAAAACCAAGUUCUUUUUCCUUUAUUCUUUUCUGAAUAAAAAUCAUCAUGAAGAAGAUUUUUGUCAAGUUCAAAAUUCUUUUCAAUAACAUUUAUAACAUUUUCUGUGACCGCAGAGAAUGUAGGGGAAGUUGGAGGAGAAGGUUCCUUCUCAUCCUGCUUUUGUUCAUGUUGACUGCUAGUAUAAAUUGGAUGAGGAAUAUUUGUAGUAUAGUCAACAGAACGUAUGGAGGAGCUAGGUACAUCUGAAGUAGAGAACCUAGGCUGACUUUGGAAAGGAAGAUUUAUGACCGAAGGGAUUUUUGUGAAUUUCCUUUCUAAUGAAGGAAUGCUUGAGCACGACUCUUUAUCAGAAAAUCUGGUAGAGUUAGAUCUUCUGAAAGAUAGUUUGACUCUACCAUCAGAAUACUGAGUCACAUUUUGCAACUCUGUAUUAGGCUCAAGUUGUUUUGGAAUUGCUGGUGGAGCAGCUCCUUCAAGAAUCCAUUCCUCUGGAAGAUUGAUAUCUUUCCAUUGGAUUGGUUUUGGAAUAACAGUAUUUGCUCUAGACAAAUCAGUCUGCAAGAGAAGAGUCUCAUCUCUUUUUGACUGGAAUUUAUGUUGCGUACUGAAUGCUGAAAUCAUUGCUUUAUAAGAGAUUUUAAAAAUCAGUGCAACUGGGACAGACCCUUUAAUCAUAUUAUAAUUAUGGGUUUUGAUUUGUAAAAUCAUGCUUUUCAAAAUAUUUUUGUCUUUAAGAGAAAUUGUUAUGUUUGGAUAACAAUCAAAAGAAAUCGGACCUUUACAUAGACUAGAUUCGAUGCUACUUAGCAAGGAAUUAUCAAAAGAGAUGAAUCAACCAUCUCUAAGGACAACAAGGAUAGAGGUAUCCAAGCCCUCUUUUGUAAGAGGCUUUAUUCCGACCUGGAUAAGACCGAUGUGGACAUAAUUAAAUUUCUUUUCCUUUAAUUUCUUUAAUGAGCUUUCUGAAAACAGGUGAAUUGUUUCAAAAGGUUCUGAAAUAGUAAUAUCACGUUCUUCAGUCGUUAUAACAUAAUCAUUUUUCAAAAUAUCGAGCUUUUUUGUUUUGUAAAUCUUUUCUUUGGAAAUUUUUGGAAGUUCCCAACAAUCAAUUGCUUUAUCAAAGUUCUCAAUAAUAAAUUCUUCUGAACUCACAACAUGUUUUGAAUCACUAGUCUUCCCGGAAGAAGAGCUAGAAAAGGAUGAUGCUCUACAGAGCAGAGGAUCCAUGAAGAAAGAACUUAUGGUCAAUCUAAGGUCUUGAAUGAAUGGCUACAGGUAUGGUUUUACAGCCCUAAGCAGAAAUCCUAUCCUGAAACGGGACUUACUACCAGUAAAAAUUCACCACACAAACAGAAAUUAAACAAAACACAAGUCUUUAAACACAAGAACUCUGAACUGCUUUACACUAUCCUCCCCUUGGCUCUGAUACCAGAAGGGAAUAUGUUGAUAUUGAAUAUAUUAAAGGAGAUACAAAUUCUGUUCCUGAUUUUCUAACUCGGGAAUUUUUGCAAAACAGAUAAUGCCGCCGAAGAAAAACAAAGGUAAAGUUGUUCUCAAAGAUACCGAACCUACAAAGAACCCCAUAGAAUCCCAAACUACUCCCUCUAAAGAAAAAAUACUUUCUUCUGCCAUGCCCAUUAAAUCCUGAAUUGAAAUGGUUGGAGAACAACAAGAAACCCAAUAUUAUAUAUAUAUAUAGUCUUUCUCUAGUGAGGUUAUUCUCAUUUUGUUAAAGAAAGAUGUCAGUAUAAUACAAAAGCACAAAUCUCAAUACAUAGGAUUUUUUUUGUCUUAUUAGUGAAAUAAAAUCUUUUUUUUUACUAGCAUCCUCAUUUAAAUUUAAUAAAGUGAGGAUAUCCUCAAUAGCAUGUGUAUAUAUAGUUUUUGAAAUUGAAUUAAAGGAACCGAUUAUAAGAAUCUAUUUGGCAACAAACAGUAGAAUAAUAAAUAAAAAGGGUCCAUUUUGUUUCCAAUGAAAUCAAUUCAUGAGAGUGUUCUAAAACCCUAGGCACUUGUUUCUAGCAAUACUGUCACAACUUUAGAACACGAAGACGUUAUUCGAAUUGGAUUUUAUCGAGGUAAGAUUAUCUAUUAAUAAAAAAUUUGUUCUUUGAAAUAAGCUUGUUAAUUAAACUAACUUCAGUAGUUCUGCUCUUAUUUUUUCAAAAUUCGACAUGCUGCUGUACGGCCAAGGCGGAUGUACGGUACAGCAGUAAUUGCCGGUUUUACUGGUCAAUUAAAAGGUUGGUGGGAUCAUCUUCUCACUAAUCAGCAACAAUUAGACAUUCUAAAUUCCAUUCAAGUCGAUGAAAAUGGAGUCCCUAUUUUUGAUGAGUUCAACAAUCCAAUCCAGGAUGCUGUUGCUACUCUAAUUUUAACCAUUUCCCUCCAUUUCAUUGGUGACCCUUCACACCUUCGUGAUAAAAACGCUGAGUUACUAUAUAAUUUAAGAUGUAGGAAACUUAGUGAAUUUCAAAGUUACAAAACCUCAUUUUUUACCAGAUUAUUUUUAAGAGAUGAUGCAAAUCAUACAACUUGGAAAGAAAAAUUUCUUGCUGGAUUACCUACCCUUCUAGGUGAAAAAGUAAGAAAUUCUAUUAAAGCCCUUUAUGAUAACCGUAUUCCUUAUGACGAGCUUACCUAAGGUGAACUUGUCAGUUUCGUCAAUAAAGAAGGUUUAAAGAUUUGUCAAGAUUUGAAAUUACAGAAACGUCUUAAGUGGGAACUUAAGAAGUCUAAACAAGAGUUAGGCGGUUUCUGUAAACAAUUCAACUAUGACCCCUUUAAAACCUCUACUUCCAAGGAUUGUAAUGGUGAAUGUUCUUCAAGACCUCACAGAAAACAUUACAAAUCCAAAAGCCAUAAGAAACCAUUCCAAAAGUUUAGAGAAUCUUAUAAGAAACCUUCAAGGCCUUAUAAAAAACUCAAUUUCUCUAAAAAGAAAAACUUUAGAGCCAAACCAAAGACCCCUUUUACUCCUUUCAAUUACAAAGAAGCCAUAUGUCAUAAGUGUGGCAUAAAAGGCCAUACUGCAAAAUAUUGCAGAAUGAACAAGAAGCUCCAGGAGCUUGGCCUAGAUGAUGACGUCCUUUCCAAAAUUGCCCCUCUCAUGGUAGAGUCUUCAGACUCUGAGUCCUCCAUGUCAGGAGAUAGUGACCCACUUCAGGUCGAUGAGCUUUUUGACUCAGAUACCUCUGCAUCUAGCAGUAGUGGAUCUGAAACAGAUUCCUUUUUAAAGAAAAUCAAUGUUUUGACUAAAGACCAAGAAACUUUUUUUGAACUCGUAAAGCAUAUUUCCGAUCCAAGUCUUCAAAAAGAAUAUCUUGAUAAGCUUUUGAAAACUCUGGAUUUUAAUAAAGUUGAAACUUCUAAAAUUCCAAUUGUUAAAAAGAACUCUUAUGAUCUUACUGAGAUUUUGAAUAAAAAGAAAACGAAGAAAAAUACCCCCAAAAUAUGGUUUUUAUUAGAGUCAAAUUCCCAAGACUGAACUAUGCACUUUCUUUUUGGAACAGCUUUAAUAAAUUAUGAAUCUCACGUUGCAUAUAUUCAGUUUGAUGCAUCUCAAGAGAUUGUAACAUAUGAUCUAACAAUUCUUUGCUCAGGCCAUCUUUAAUGACUUUAACUUUAUCUUCAUGAUUUUCAAAAACCAUUCCUAAGGUUUUAUAAUGUGGUCGAUUGCAAUUAAGUCUUAUACAGUUAGAACAUUUAGACACAAGUUGAUUAGCUCUCAUUCUUUUAGUAAAUAAUUUUUUACCAAAAUCAGGCAUGUAAGAAACAAAUUGAUUAAAAAAACUCACAAGCCAAUUAGACAUUUGCUUUAAUUAACCAACAAUUGUCAGAAAGAAUGCCUUUGAUAAUUAAUAAAUGAAUCAUUCACAACGAAAUUUGUAAAUCUUCUUGAGGGCGUUUUGAGUAAGAGAAUGAAAAUACUUAUACAAUUUAUAUUGUAUUUCUUCCAUGCUUGAUUUUGGGGUUUCAAUUAUUAUGGAAAACUAAAGAUACCGACUUAAGAAGUCAUGGAGUUAUACGAGAAAGUAAAUCAAAACACAAUAAAGAAACAAAUCAACUUUGCAAAAUCAAGUCAAACAUGAAGGCCAACAAAAUAACAAAACAAAAACACACAAUAUGAAAAAAAACAAUUGAUAUAAUCAAAUAUUAAACCCACAUUUAUCCUUUUAGUAAGUUAACCUCAAGUUCCAAUUAAAAAUUACAUAUAUUACCUUCAAUUUCCCUGGGUUGUCUUUGUAGAUAAUCAAGAUGGGACACUAACAUUGGUGUUUGUAAACUCCAACCAGGGUAUGAUUUACAAAAUUGUAUCAGGCAUCUUAAAUAAAAUUUCACACGUAGAAAUUCCCCAACAUGUUUAAAGAGGAUCUUUCUUAUUGAGGUACUCAUGACAUAUAUUAAGAAGGAUAAAAUGAAACACAACUGUCGAACAAACGUACUUAAGUAAGAAACAUCAUAAUGCGCAUUAUUCAAGACAUAGAAAGAAAUAAUCAAAUAAUUCAAAUGAUAAAAUAACAGUAAAAAAAAUUAAAUCACCCAAAAGACUCAAUCAAUAUUUGGUAGGUCACUUAAAUUUAUUUUGGUGUCCUCUUCACAUGAUUGGUAUUCCAUAUAUGAUUUUAAUCUUUGACCAUUAACUUUAAGUCUAACAUCUUUCCUUGGAUUCUCAAUUUCUAUGGCCCAAUAUGGAUAUAUAUUUUUUACAACAAAUAGACUACUCCACUUUGACUUUAGCUUCCUAGAAAUAAAUUAACAUGAGAAUUAUAAAAUAACACUUUUUGAUCAAUCUCAAAUGUUUUCCUAAAAAUACUUUUAUCAUGAAAAGCUUUGGUUCUUUUCUUAAUAAUUCUUGAAUUCUCAUAUGCAUCAUUCCUUAAUUUCUCAGGUUCAUUCAAUUACAAUUUAGACACAUUACUAGCAUCGUCAAUAUUUGAAUUAAAAGCUUUAAUAGUCCAAAAUGAUUUAUACUCAAGUUUAACGGGUAGGUGAGAAGGUUUACCAUAAACUAACCGAUAAGAUAACAUUCGUAAAGACAUCUUAAAUGUAAUGCGAUAGGUUCAUAGUGUAUCAGUAAAUCAAAGAGACCAAUCUUUGCAGAUUAGGUUAACUAUUUUUUCCAACAUUUAUUUAUCUACCUAUUUAAAAAGUGAACUUGACCACUUGUUUGAGGGUGAUAUAGGGUAGUAAUUUUAUGUAUAAUUUCAUAUUUCUUUAAAGACUCAAAUGACUUAUUACAACAAUGCUUAUCUCCAUCAUUGAUAAUGGCUUGGGAGAUUCCAAAUCUACUUUAAAGAUUUUCUUUUAAAAUAUGGAUUACAAUUUUGUGAUCGUUAUACCAGUAAGGAAUUGCUUUAAUCCAUUUUGAAAAAUAAUCAACAGCAACCAAAAUAUUAACAUCAUUCCUCUCGCAUCUAUUGCAAGAUAAUUAUAAUGUUAGCAUACCAAGGCAUAUUGUACAUCGAAAACAAAAAUUCAUUAGUGAAAGAAUCAUUUAUGGGUGUUGUAUCAAUUAAAGACUCAUUUGUAAAUCUUGAAAUAUGGCCAACAACCAUAUUUUCGGCACUUUUUUGUCCAUGAUUAUCUUGAAAUAGUAAAAUCCAUAGUAUUAAUCUUGGCUUAAUAUCUUGUUUAGACAUUAAAUGUCUGACAGUAGCAUGAUCAUAAUAAAAAAUAGUGAAUGAGUCAAUUAAAUAUGAACAAAAUUUAUCCAAUGCAAAUAUUACAGUAAGUAGUUUUCUUUUUAAUCUGGUGUAAUUCAUUUAGGCACUACUCAAAGUUCUAUUUACGUAAUAGAUGACAAAGAGUUUACGCUGGCAUAAUUACACAUUAGCUCAAAAAUAAAGACUAAUCACGGGGUUCAAUUAUAGGGAAUGAUAUUAAAAUACUAAUUAUCUUUUCAAAUGCCUUCUGAGAAUCUUUUGUCCACUUGAACGAUGUGUCAUUUAUUUAAAGGUUAUAAAGUGGUCUAGAUAUGAAACUAAAGUCUUUUAUAAACUUUCUAUAAAACCUAGCAUGUCCUAAAAAGAAAUGGACUUCCCUAACUGUCUUUAGUGGGGGUAAAUUUGAGAUGACUUUAACUUUGGCUUUAUCAACUUCAAUUCAAUUAGAAGACAUUUCAUAGCUCAAGAUAGUUCUAGAAAUAGUCAUGAAAUGACAUUUUUCCUAAUUUAAAACAAGUCCUUUUCCUUUAUACCUUUCCUGCUGUACGGCCAAGGCGGAUGUACGGUACAGCAGAUUUCAAACAUUUAAAGACUUUUUAUUUUGCCACCAGAAAGGCUGGAUUGGCAAUCUCUAGUUCUAAAGUUUCUUUAUUUCAAACAAAAGUCAGAUUCCUUGUUCAUCAUAUUUCUAAAGGAACAAUCACUCCAAUCGAGCGAUCCCUUUUGUUUGCAAAUAAAUUCCCUGAUAAAAUUCUUGACAAAACCCAAUUACAAAGAUUUCUUGGAAGUUUAAAUUAUGUUCUUGAUUUCUGUCCUAACAUUAAUAGGAUGUCUAAACCCUUGCAUGAUAGAUUAAAGAAAAAACCUGUACCUUGGACAGAUGAACAUGCCAAGGUUGUAAAGCUUAUAAAGAAUUCUGUGAAAAGCAUCCCAUGUUUAUAUCUUGCUAAUCCUACAUUACCUAAAAUUGUUGAAACUGAUGCAAGUGAUUUAGGUUAUGGAGGCAUAUUAAAGUAAAAAGAAAAUGAUAAAGAACAGAUAGUACAAUAUGUUUCUGCACAUUGGAAUGAUUGCCAGAAAAAUUAUUCUACUAUCAAAAAAGAAAUCCUUUCCAUUGUUUUAUGCAUUACAAAAUUUCAAAGUGAUUUAUUAAAUCAAAAAUUUCUACUUAGAAUUGAUUGCAAAGCUGCAAAACAUGUUUUGGAAAAAGAUGUUCAAAAUAUUGCAUCAAAACAAAUUUUUGCACGAUGGCAAGCCAUUUUAAGUGUUUUUGAUUUUGAUAUUGAAUAUAUUAAAGGAGAUACAAAUUUUGUUCCUGAUUUUCUAACUCGGGAAUUUUUGCAAAACAGAUAAUGCCGCCGAAGAAAAACAAAGGUAAAGUUGUUCUCAAAGAUACCGAACCUACAAAGAACCCCAUAGAAUCCCAAACUACUCCCUCUAAAGAAAAAAUACUUUCUUAUGCCAUGCCCAUUAAAUCCUGGAUUGAAAUGGUUGGAGAACAACAAGAAACCUAAUACAAAUCCAUCUCCUCUGAGCAACAAGUCAAAGAGUGGAUGGAAUCCAUUACAAGGUCCCCUGAGCUUAUGCUUGCCUUACAAGGCAUUUCAAAAUCUAAAGCUCUUUCUCAGAUCCCUGAGGAAGAAAAACCAACUUCUAAAGAAAUUACAAAGUCUUCUUCUCAAAGCCAAACUGUUGUUCUUUCUGGUGAAAGUUCGUCUUCUCAGAUUGUUCUUUCCCAGCCAACUCUUUCAAAGAAAACCUCCGAUUGGUAUGAUAAAACCCAUUUUCAAAAUGUUUUAACUAUGGAAGAUGGAUUUUACCACACUGAUCCUUUCCAAGCAAUUUCAAAGUUUUUUCCUAAAGGCUGGUUUUUCAAACCAUGAGAUUUAACAAAACCCCAGCCUUACUAUCAAAGCAUUUUAGAAGCCACUGAGUCUGUAAAAUUCAAACAUUUCUUUCUCAGUGAAACCCAUUCUGAGCCGGCCUAUUCCACGGCCACUAUUCUUAAAGUCUUGAGCCCAAACCAAUGGGGUGACCAACUCCACAAAUUUAAAACCUUCCCUCCAAAUUUCCAAAUGCGUCUACCACACUGCUUGGCCUAUUCCUAUUGUCUUUUGAGAACUAGUGAACUUAUCAAGAAUUUACAUUCUUGUGGUGUUCCAAAUUUAGACUUAUCACUCACCUUCUCAUCUUUUUCUUGAGUGUGGCGUCAAUACCCUUCUCUAUACCUUUGGUUCAUGUUUUCUUAAGCAUUGGGUCAAGGUUUUUGUUUGCCAUAAAUCUGUUUAGAACUUUCUUGGGAAGUUGAAACUACAAAUUAAGUGUAGGAUUGAAAGUUUCAUUGUGGGAUUCGUAUCACUAUUCCUAUUGGGAUUACCUACAAGCCUGGUUUAACACAUUUUUCUUACAAAACCCAAAAAAGUCCCAUUCAUGGUUAUUUUUCUUCAAUUCAAAAAUAACCGUCCAAAGUCUUCCAAACUGGUUCCAACAAUAGUGGAACUAUUUCGGCCCAACACCACAACUCCUAACUCCAAAUGCCAACCAUUGUCUAAACCUUUUUAAAGCCCAUUAUACCCCAUCAUAUUCAGAAAAACAGUUUUCUCCCUUCCUCUGUUUUGUACAAAUUUCUUCCUCCCAUGGAUAUGGAUGUGGGAUUUCAAAUUUCAUACCCAAGAAAAACAACUCAUCAUACAAAGAACUUUCAAAGUCAAGUGGUGGUCAAAAUUCGAUGAACAAACCAAAUUGACAGAACCCCUUCAAAUACAAAAAUAGUUAAAGACACUUCCAUAUAAUCUCAAACCAACUCAACUCCAAUAAUAAAAUCAAAUUAUCUCAACCUCAACAAUCCAACGACACAAAACAGUUGUCAACCAUCAAAAUCAUCAAGCAAUCCAAAUACAUUUAUGAAAGCUAAAAGAGCACAUACGACAUAGUUAUAUCAUUCAAAAUAUAAAAUGAGAUCAGAAAUGUAUGUCCGAAACAAGGGAAAACAUAAAACAUUGAAAGAUAAACAAAGGAGGUGGCUACGAUGAAGACCCAGCGGGAGGGAAACCGAGUGCAGUGAGGAUGCAUUUCCAACGAUCACGAAGCUCCUGCUGCUGAUCUAAGAUGAACUGUUGAAAAGUAUCGAAGUGAGACAUAAGCUGCUGCUACUAUAGUGAAAGAGUGCGAACCUCGCUAAGAAGCUGCUGCAUCAAGCCCUUAGAUGAGGAAGAAUCUGCAGGAACCGGAAGCACAUCAGUAUCCAUAUCAUGCUCCUUCUACUCCACUGGCUCCUCAGUGUGCGCAACUGUAGCUCGACGGGGAACUCAAGGUUUAGCACCUAAUCAAAAGUCGAGUAGCUUAUCGGUAGAAUAGAUAUCGUUAAGCAGACGAUCAUCCUCAGGAUCUAAAAGUGUAUACUCAUUCUUAGAUGAAGUUAGAGCUGGAAAAAUGAGUCAUUAGGUCGUGUUCAUGUCGUGUCAGCUUCAUGUCGUCUCAAAUUUAGGCUGACCCAAAUCCGACCCAUUUAAUAAUCGUGUCAAAGUAUUGUGACUCAAACCCGACACGGAAAAAUAAUCGGGUUUCCCAAUAACCCGCUUAAUAUGUAUAUAUUAAACAAAAGUUACAUCAAAUAUUUACACACUGUCAUGCAUACAUAUGUACAUACAUACACACAUAAUUUAUCGAUAUUAUAAAAUAUACAUAUCUAACAAAAUAUUACACAUUUACACUAUUGAGGUUUUAAUUAUAUAUAUGUAAAUAAUAUUAUAUAUCAAUAUUAUAAAAUAUACAUGCCUACUAAUAUUUUACACAUUUACACUAUUGAAGUUCUAAAUGUAUUUAAAAUUUUAUAAAUAAAAUACUGUGUUUAUAUUUAUCAUUUCAAAGAAUAAAAAUAAAAGAGAAAAUCAUCUCUAAUAUUUGAGUUUUGACGACAAGAACCUGGAUAUUAUUUUAAAAUAAAAAUAUAAUCGGGUCAUUGAUUGGGUAAAUGGGUCAAGAAUUUUAACCCUAACCCAACGCGAAAAAAAAUCGUGUCGACCCGGACCCAACCCAUUUAAUAUUCAUGUUAAAUUCGACGACCCAUACCCAUUUAUUCGUAUCGUGUUCGUGUCGGGCAAUCGGGUCGAGUAGAAUUUUACCAGCUCUAGAUGAAGUAAUCUUCACCCAUUCUCCAUUACGCCUACGAAAAUCGAUUCCGAGAAUAAUCUCACCUCCCAACCUCUUAGUCUCUUUAUACACAGGCUCAAUAAUGGGAAUCUGAAAAUGCCUCAAGAUCCUACUGAUAAUACUACCAUAGGGAAGAAGUUUGUUGUUCACUGCAAGUGUAGACAACAUGUGAUGAAGUAUAAUAUACCCAAGGUUAACUGGACGCCUUCUAAAAAGACAGUCCAGUAAACCAACAUCCAAACGAGUGACCUCGUCACUAUGCUGUUUCCUAGGAGUAACUAUAUGUUGGAGAAUACUAUGAAGGAUUCUAAUCUGCAUGGGCAACAACUGAGACUGAAAAGGCAGUGAGCAAACAUCGUCGGAAAGGUCUCGAUGUAUAUAAAUAUUCCUAACCGCAUCUACAUAAGAAAAACAGUUAAACUGGAGUUCUUUUGGAGAAGUAUAGAGUUCUAGUCCUAUAUGAUUAGUCCCUAGAAUGGAAUUCAAAUCCUCCACAAUGAACUCAAUGGGUAUAACUAGUCGAUCCAACCUAGUAGUCGAAAGCUCCAUAUUAGAGUAGAAAAUUCUAAUGUGGUUUUGAUACACUUUCUCCUCUAGAUUUAAAGCAGUCUCCCAUGGUGCUCCUUCACAUUACUACUAUAAACAACCAAUUCCUCAAAAUCAUCUAAAAUAACAAAGAAGGAAUCAGUUAACUUACACAUUAUAAAGCGAGUUUGGAACCUCCUAGCCAGAGAAGGAGAAGGAAAGUGAACCUUUUCAAACUCAAGUACUGGAGAGGGACGAGUAGGAUUCCUGCCAGCCUGUUGUUUAACUCGUCGCUCAGGUCUUGAAGGUCCUUCAUUAGCCAUGAAGGUGUUUAUGGGCUUAACUGAUUAAGAAAUGAAGAAAUUUGUGGUCAAAUUGAAAGAAAUAGGUUCGGUUUGCACUAGGGUUUCAAAAUUGGGAAUUUUUUAUUUGGGGCUUAAAACAAGAUUUUGAUAUGAUAGAAAUGUUCUAAACUUGUUGGAGAAAAUUCUAUGGCUUCAAUUUAGAAAGAAAUUGCAAAGAAAAUGAGUGAUUUUAGAGAGAGAGAGAGUUGCAGUUACGGUGAUGAGAGAAAAUAGUUCAUGGCCAAAAGAAAAUGAAGAAAACGAUUUACUGUGCACUUAUCAUGCAAUAACGGUGAGCCAUUAUUAAGAUAUCGGCGAGCCAAUAUCAUUCCAGAAUGCUUCACUAAAAUUUUACAAAAACGGUGAGUCGUUAUUAUGAAGUUGGCGAACCGUUAUCUUCCUUAAUAUUUUCCCUAGUUUCUGUGCAAAAAUGGUUAACCGUUUAUUGAAUAAAUGGUAAUCUGUUUUCUUUUUUGGCCAACAAUUAAUCCAUUUCAAAAUCAUUUCAUUGAUCCGAAAUGUCUUAAAGACCAAUUUAACGCAUGAUUCAUGAAUUCACACAAUUCAAACAACUAAUACAAAUAAGCAAACACAUCACAAACAACAAAGUAGAUUUGAUAUCACAUAUAGUGAAGCUAUUAUGUAACAUUUAUCAUUACAUGCUCAUGCUUAAUUUUAGUAAAUUGUUCUUCAUUAAGGGGUUUUGUGAAAAUAUCAGCGAGUUGUUUUUCGGUUGAAACAAAAUUCAAUGAAAUAUCCCCUUUUUUAUCAUGAUCUCUCAAGAAAUCAUGUCCAAUUCUAUACGCUUGGUUCUUGAGUGUUGGAUAGGAUUAUUUGAAAGAUUUAUGACACUAGUAUUAUCACACAUGAUAGGAAUUUUAUCAAGGUAAAUGCCAAAGUCUCUAAGAGUUUGUUUCAUCCAUACGGUUUGAGCACAACAACUUCCGGCUGCAAUAUAUUCACCCUUGGUAGUUGAUAGUGCAACCGAAUUUUGUUUCUAGUGACCUAGAAAGUAACAUGUUCCACUAGUGCUUUUCCUAUCAACCUUAUAUCUGGCAAAUUCAGCAUCCGAGUAACAAGUUAAAUCUAUAUGAGUUCCUCUAGGAUACCAAAGGCCAAGAUCUAUGGUUCCACUCAAGUAAUGAAUUUUUUUUUUCACCGCAAGCAAAUGAGAUUCUUUAGGACAUAAUUGAAAUCUUGCACACAAGCAUACACUAAACAUAAUAUCAGGUCUACUAACAGUAAAGUAAAAUAAGGAUCCAAUCAUACCUAGAUAAGUUUUGAUAUAAACUUCCUUGCUUUUUUCAUCCUUAUUAAGCUUGAUUGAUGAAGAUUCCUUCUUCAGUUUGUUUUAUUUGAAGUCUAAGAAACUACUUCAAUUCUCCCAUCAUACUCAUCUCAAAUUCUUAGCUCAUACAAAAUGAAAAAUCCUUACACAAAAACUUAUUAGUAGAACAAAAAAUAAUAUCAUUAACACAAAUUUGUGUCUGAGCCAAAGUUAAGAAUGAGACCUAGAUUGAUGGCAAUAACACCUAUGAGAAUAUCAACAUAUUCAUUUUUAAAGACAAACUCCCUACUUGGACCUUCCUUUAUAAUCUCAGCAUCCUUAAAGAACCAAGUAUUUCCUAACUCGAAAAUCAUCUUAGUCAUAGGAUCAAAAAACUUGUACCCUAGAUCUUUCAAGUAAGAAAUUGCUUAUAUUAGUUUUUCUUGAAUUCCUAUUUUUCUUUUUAAUCUCUUUUUCGGUAUGCAAACAUUAAUUGACAAGUUUGUUGAGGCUAAGCAUGAAAUCCAUUAAUCUUAAAGAGUUAAAAUUACAACGUUCAUUCAAAUUCUAGGAAUAUUCUAAUCCAAAACUAUAUUAAACUUUAAUAAUGUAGGCAAUGAUUGCCGGUUAGAAGGCAUGCUAAAGAGAGCAAAACUUAAGGAAUAAUGAACUUAAGUACAUAUACAUUUUAUUUGUCCUAAAAAUUACAGCUUAUGGCUAUUGAUUUUAUUUAUAUAUCAUUAGUUGAUGAUAGGAAAUUGCAGAACGCAGAGAUUGCUAUGAAUGCUUUGUUUAUGUGGUAGGUGUUGCACACAACUAAUAGUACUGCAUAAUUUCUAUUUUUAUUUAUUUUGUUUGUGUAAAUAUCUUUAAUUCUUUUUAAUGCCUUACUUUAGGAAAGGAAAAAAAGGGUCUCACCUUAUUCUUUAAUGAAUAUUUUCAUAUUUUACUAUUGUCCUAUGUAAAUACUUAUUUUUUACUAAAUAUUUUCCAUUGAUGAAAUGGGAUACAUUUUACUUCGCUUGGGGCCUGCUGAAUUUUGUUCCUAGAGAAGGUCUACAUUUGCAUAGCUUUGGUGCUGAAUGUUGGUGAAUGCUGAGUACUUUGCUUGGUUAUUGGCUUGACUUUGGAAUAUGGUUUAACUAAUGUAUUUUAAAGUUUGAAUUGUAAGUUUUUGUACUUUGGUUAUUUUUAUGAGCAAAACUAUGGUGCAACUGUGGUACCAUACCACAGUUGCAUCCAAUCGUUAGAUUCAGCUACAGUUGUUACCAUAAGCUAGAUCCAAGGUUGGAAGCAACUGUGGUAUGGUACCACAGUUGCACCAUAGCCGGACCCUAUUUUUAUGGAUAAUAAAGUUCACUAAUUUAAUUCAUUGGUUUUGGAUUUGAUUGCAUUUAGUAAUUUAUUUUCUCUCGUAUAAAUUUAAUAAUUCAAAUUUUAAAUUGAAGUAGCUAAAAUUGCAUAAAUUUUUAUUUUUAAAUCAAUAAAUAUUUAUCAAGGUGUAAAGACGUACUUCAAGAGGAUAUUCAUAAGUUUUGAUGCACUAAAUAAUGGGUUUAUAAGUGGAUGUAGAAGGUUCAUUGGAGUUGACACCUUAAGACAUCAUUUAGCGAUAUCUUAUUGAUAGCUAUUAUACUUAAUGCCAACAAUGACAUAUUCCAACUGGCAUUUUGCAUUUGUGAUGUUGAGUACAAGGACAGUUGGAAGUGGUUUCUUGACUUGUUGAAGGAACAUCUUGGCAAUUGAUGAAGUUUUUCCCAAGUGUGUGCCAUCAGACAUUGUGCAAAACAUAUUUAUGUGAAUUUCAUGAAGGAUUUAAGGGAAUGUUUUGGAAGGUUGUGAGAGCAACAAACAGAGUGGAAUUUGAAAAGGAAAUUAAAAAAAUUAACUCAAGAAAAAGGCUACAUAACGAUUGAUGCAUAAUGAACUAGAAACAUUGGCAUGUCAUACUUUCGAUCCUUUUUUCAAGAUUGAUCAUGUUACUAUUAAUAUUUCAGAGAGUUGGAAUUCUCUACGCAAUGAGUAUAGGAAAAAACCAUUCCUUUAAUUGCUUGAAUUUAUAAGAUUUAAAAAACCAAUCCUUUAAAGGCUUAUUCGAAGAAGAGAAAGGACGGCAAUGUGGGACUCUGAUUUGCCUCCAAGAUUGCAUAGAAAAUUGGCAAAAAUAUCCAAAGCUUCAAGGAAAUUGAUUGUGGUGAAAGCUAGUAAAGCUCCAUAUGAGGUGUUGGAAUUUAUAGACGAUGAAAAGAGGCAUUAUGUGGUUGAUUAAAAAUGAAGGACUAGCUCGAAAUAAAAGGUACACUUUGACAAGUAGCUAGUGCAACAAAUUUAUGAAAUAUUAAUGAGGCAACCCAAGAGGGUGAAUUGGGAUUCUAAAAAUUUGGGUAACUAAAAGUUAAUGCAAUUUUAAACAAAUCAAUCAAAUUUGAAAUAAACAAAUUAAUGUGCAAUGAAAAAUAAAGAGAUUGGGUAAGAGAGAGAAAACACGCGAUUUUUACGUGGUUCGGCCAACCUUCCUACGUCCAUGCCUCCAAGCUCAUCGGGCUUGAGGAUUUCACUAAGUGAGCCUCCAAGACUUCAACAACUCUUCCAAUUAACUUCCAAGGUGUCAAUAGACCUAAUCUCCUUAAUCUCUUAGCCCAAGGGUAUCCCAAUACUUACAACCUCUCAAAAAUAUAGAUUACAAAUGAAUUUUCUCUCACACAAUGUAUAUGGUUACAAAUGAAAGCUCAAAGUGUGAAUCAAUGAAAUAAAAACAAGUUUAAAGCUUAAUAAUGGUUGUAUACUCAGUAGCAAGCUCAAUGAUAACUGUUGGAUCUGAUACGAAUCCCACAAUGAAACUUUCAAUCCUACAAUUAAUUUGUAGUUUCAACUUCCCAAGAAAGUUCUAAACAGAUUUAUGGCAAACAAAAACCUUGACCCAAUGCUUAAGAAAACAUGAACCAAAGGUAUAGAGAAGGGUAUUGACGCCACACUCAAGAAAAAGAUGAGAAGGUGAGUGAUAAGUCUAAAUUUGGAACACCACAAGAAUGUAAAUUCUUGAUAAGUUCACUAGUUCUCAAAAGAACCAAAGAAAGAAUAAUCUUUCAAAUUCAAAAUAACAUUAAUCUCCUUACAUACCAAGGUUGCUGAAUUUAAAUAGGCUAAAAGGAACCCAAGAUCCUAAAAAUACAAAUGGAAACAUUGGAACAACCCUCCAAGUAAGUUUGUCAAAAGAUGUUUCAAAAGUCUUCACCAACCCACCAUGAUCAAUGCUAUCUUUGACAAACUUAAUGCUAGCCUACUAUAAUUAAUGCUAUCAUUGACAAACUUAAUGUUCUUGCACUUUAAUUCUGGCUCAAUCAAUACAGUUUUUAUUCCGAAUUUGACCUUUCUGCAUUUGAUACAACUUGUGUAUUUGGCUGCCCAAUGACUUGAAUAAUGCCCACAAUGCCUUGUCUUCUCUUCAAGCCCAAUUCAUGAUGUCUUGCAUCUUGAAUUGCAUUUUCAAUCCAUAUUUUCUCAAUUAAUCCAUUUAAAGCAGCUUGCAUCUUUUUGGCUCUUGCUCUUGUAAUUGGGCCUCCAUGAAUGUGCAAAGGAUCACUUGAAGUUUUAAUGGUCCCUUGAUGGUUCUCAUCAGGAUCGCUCUAUGUUUGAAUUUGAUUGAGCCAUUUUAUAGGUAAAGCUGAAAACCAGUCAUUGUUAACUUUCUGAGAAAAAUCAGAUCGCCAUUAACAAUGACUAUUAUGCUUAGAUUUUUAAAUAGAAACUUGCAAAACAAAUUUGGCUAACCAUUUGUGCUAAAUAGUUCAUAGUUACAAUCCAAUUCAUCUCUAGAAAUUAUAGGUUAGCCAUUUUCAAUAAACCGUUCACCGUUAUUUUUUAGAUACAACAUUUUAACAACCUUUUGUUAUGGUGAGAUUGUAACUGAAGAUGAAACAGAAGAAAAUGAGAUGCCACCAUUAGAGGAUGUUGAAGAUGAAGAGUAUAUAGCCCCAGGGGAAUUGACUUUAGUUGUGAGGAGAGCUUUGAGUGUACAAGUGAAAGAAGACGAAGCGGUGCAAUAGGAAAACAUUUUCCACACUAGGUGCUAUGCUCAAGACAAAGUAUGCAGUAUGAUUAUUGAUGGAGGAAGUUGUACUAAUAUUGCUAGUACUAUCAUGGUAGGGAAGUUAGGGCUUCCUACACUCAAACUACAAUAGUUAAAUGACAGUGGUGAGGUGAAAGUGAACAAGCAGGUAUUAGUGACUUUUCAGAUUGGCAAGUAUGAAGAUAAGGUGCUUUGUGAUGUAGUACCCAUGCAGGCUAGACACUUGUUACUUGGGCGGCCUUGACAAUUCGACAGACAUGUGAAGCAUGAUGGCUUCACCAAUAAAUAUUCAUUUGUAUUUAAUCAACGCAACAUCACUCUGGUUCCAUUGAUACCAAAGCAAGUUUAUGGAGAUCAAGUGAGCCUACAGAGAGAGAGUGAGCAAAAGAAAAAGAGAGAAAAAUAGAGUGAAAUUUAGAAAAAGGUUGAGGAAAAUGUGAGAGAAAAACCAAAGAAAAAUAUGGCCAUUGAGCAAAAAUCAGGUGGAAAACAAAAAAAUUUCUAUACGAGAGUGAGUGAGAUAAAAAAAAGCAUUGUUUUCACAUCAGCCAAUGAUUGUACUUUUGUACAAAGAUGCAUUUUUUAACACUAACAAAUUUGACCCUACUUUGCCUAGUUCUAUUACUUCUCUUUCGCAAGAGUAUGAGGAUGUCUUUCCUGAGGAAGCACCACAUGGUUUAUCUCCAAUCCGAUGGAUUGAGCAUCAGAUUGAUUUUGUGCUUAGUGUAGCCAUUCCAAAUAGACCAGCCUAUAGGAGCAAUCCGGAGGAGACCAAGGAACUUCAAAGGCAAGUUAAUGAAUUGAUGGAAAAAGGGUACGUGAGAGAAAGCAUGAGUCCAUGUGCAGUUCCCCUUUUAUUAGUUCCUAAGAAGGAUGGGACAGCAAUCCGGAGGAGACCAAGGAACUUGUGCUUAGUGUAGCCAUUCCAAAUAGACCAGCCUAUAGGAGCAAUCCGGAGGAGACCAAGGAACUUCAAAGGCAAGUUAAUGAAUUGAUGGAAAAAGGGUACGUGAGAGAAAGCAUGAGUCCAUGUGCAGUUCCCCUUUUAUUAGUUCCUAAGAAGGAUGGGACAUAGAGGAUGUGUGCUGAUUAUCGAGCCAUCAACAAUAUAACAGUAAAGUAAUGACAUCCCAUUCCUAGGCUAGGUGACAUGCUUGAUGAAUUACAUGGGUCUUGUGUAUUUUCCAAAAUUGAUUUAGAAAGUGGAUAUCAUCAUAUUAGAAUGAAAGAAGGAGAUGAAUGGAAAACUGCUUUUUUAAAACAAUAUAUGGUUUGUAUGAAUGGUUAGUCAUGCCUUUUGGUCUAACUAAUGCCCCGAGCACUUUUAUGGGACUUAUGAAUCAUGUCUUGUGAGCUUUUAUUGGCAAGUUUGUUGUUGUUUAUUUUGAUGAUAUCCUCAUUUAUAGCAAAAACAUAAACGAUCAUGUAGUACAUUUGAAAUCUGUUUUAGAUGUGCUUAGAAAAGAAAAGUUGUUUGCUAACCUAAAGAAGUGUACUUUUUGCACCAACAAACUUGUGUUUCUAGGAUUUAUUGUGAAUGCACAGGAGAUACCAAGUUGGAAGUUGUACGUGGCAUUGUUACACCAGAUCUAUAACAGUACAAAGUCUGUUCUUAGGGCCAAUAGCCCGCAAGUUCUGGUUUCUAGCCGAUAUACACUUAUCCGUCAAAUACCAAAUCUGAAAAUUAUAUUUAAAAAUAGUUUUUCACGAUACCACCCGAAAACACGGCACUCAUGGCCUUCAAAGUGGGUGAACGUUGUGAGAAAACAAUUCUAUUUUACAAAAAUCAGUUUUGGAGGAUAAAACAGGACCUUUCUGAUGCACAAGAUCCUUAGGCUUAAGGCAAGUUCAGAGCAUACUCAGUUUAGAAAAUUAGAGGAGAGCGUAUCAUUAUUAACCCAAAUAAUUUCUUUGAUUCCUAAAAGAAAGAAGAAGUUUAGAAACACAUGAUGUAAAGAAAACUUGAAAAUAUAUUUCAAAUUAACUCCUGCCUUACAAAGGGAUAGAGAGAUCCUUAUAUAGAGAUCUCGAGGAACGAGAGAUAAGGUGGGUCCCUUAUCUUUUACAAAAGCAUAAUUAUUAAAGCACCUACGCCAAACUAGAAAAAGUAGAAAACAUACUUUAGACAAGACAAGACCCUUGUCUAAUUAUUAAAGAAAACUUUAAAAAAGCAAAAGCUAAAGAUUCCCAUGCGUGUCUGCAAUCAUGGAGUGGAUGGGUAGUAUGAUGGAGACACAUCACCAAUUUCUUUCUCAUAUUGGCACUUGGCACGACGAAUUUGCCUGUGAUCAAGAUAACCUUCAACUUGCAGCUUCUUCAUCAGCAUUAUUCAUUUCUUUUGGGGCUGAUGUAGUCGGAGGUUCUGGGUUUGUGACAGUGUAAUGGGGAUUUUCAAUAUGGAGAAGAGACUAAAAAUCUUCCCAUGGAUCCUGAACGUCUUGGAAUAAGACGUUAGUGCAGCUCCAUCUGUCCCUUCAGUUCUUGAAAUGUCUUCUAAAGCAUCUUCUUCCCCAUGGUUUACAUUUGAUGACAUUCCUCGUCACAAAUGGCAGGCUCAACAUUAAGAAUUUGCUACAUGGAUUGAUGUGCAAAUGACAAGUCCUAAUGUACAAUCACAAAGUGUUCUCCGAGAGUUUUGUUCCAGAUUCAUUGGAUCUCUACGAGAUUGGUUUGAAAGUCUAGGUGAAUACAGACAACUCCAAUUGAUUCAAACCACCGUUCCUAUAGCUCUUGUAGUCAUUUAUGAGCAAUUUAUUGGAGAACCGGCAGCCUCAACUGAAGCUUCUCGAAAAAAAUAUCACCAGAUGAAAUGUUGUUCUCUUAAACGACAUCACCUGGAAAUGCAUUACAAAAGGAUGAGCAUGCUUUAUUACAAACUAAAUGGAUUCAAUGAUCCAUCCUUAAAGCAUGUCUUUGCUGCAUCUUCACCACCAGAACUUCAGCCAGAGCUCAAAGACAAUUGACAGCCUUUAACCUCGACAUAGCAAAAUGUCUCCUUUGGAAAAAUCUUUCAAUUAACCAUGCUAUGCCUUGAUAAGAUCUGUGAGCAAAAAGAUUUCUUCAAGGACCUUAUUGAACACAAAGAACCCUUUGCCUCAGCUUGUAAAAAAACCCUACCUCAAAAUCCAAUGCAAAGAUGACAAAAAGUGCACUUGUCCAACCAACAAAAAGAAGCACUUCCAGAAAUAUUUCCACAAAUCCUCUUCCAAAAAACCAAAGAAGCCUUACAGAUACUUCAGGAAAAAGGAUCCUUCCUAAUUUAGAAAGAAGAAAUACAAUCGCUGCUUUAUUUGCAAGAAGCGUGGACAUUUUGCCCUUAAUUGCCAGAACAAGCCGGCCAAAGCUGUUCAUCUCAUUCAGCACUUACAACAAUCUUCUAUACUUUCUGACCACGAAGAUGUUGAAUCUAUUUUCUCAUAACAGUUAGAGAAAAAUGAACAUACAGCCUUCAUCCUUACUAAUUCAAGACUCAGAUGCAGAUGACAUUUCUGUGAUCUCCACUAUUUAAGAGAUUAACCACAUUCGUCCCACACUUACUGGUCCAUCAGUAAAAAUUUCAGUCAUCCCUUCUAAAUUCCAUAAACCUGUCUUAGUCAUUGGUUUCCUUGAUACUGGCGCACAACGUAGUAUGCUCAAUCCUAGAAUCUUUCUUCUGGAUUAUUGGGAAAACCACACUGAAUACUUCAGAGCUGCAAAUGGAAAAUUUUUUUAAACAUCUCUCAUAACCAAAAAACCCAUUAGUAUCCAGUUCUUUCCAAAUUGUAUCAUUUGGCAAAAGAUUGUUGGUUCAAAUUUGCCAGACAAAGAUCUCCUCAUCGGAUUUGAUAUCCUCUAAUUGGUAAAAAACCUCUUCAUUAUGCCAACAGGCAUUAAAUUUAAACAAAUGUUUAUGCCUUAUACAGAUGUUCUCCGUCUGUAUACAUUGUCAGAUAUAGCUUCUCCCUAUACCUCUAUUUCCCAAAAGUUCCUUGAUUUUCUCUUAGUUUACUCAUCCAUCACCAUUUUGGAAAAAUACACAGUUUUUCAUCCAUCUUCCUUUCAAACUCAAUGAAGAUGUCAAUCCUACAAAAGCCACACAUCCGGGGAUGCCUCCAUCUGAUCUCACUCUCGCCAAGCAAGAAUGCACACAAUUGCUUCGGUAAGGUCUCAUCGAACCCACUACUUCAAAUUGGGCUUGUUAAGCUUUCUAUGUUGAAAAACAAUCUGAAUUAGUUUAUGGAAAAAAGAGGUUAUUUAUUGAUUACCGACCACUUAAUGCUUUCCUUAAAGAUGAUAAAUUUCCUCUUCCAAAGAUCCAGUCCCUAUUCAUUCAUCUUCAAGGUGCAAAGGUAUUUUCAAAGUUCGAUCUUAAAGCUGGUUUUUGGCAACUUGGUAUUUCUUCAGAAGACCGUCCCAAAAUAGCCUUUUGUAUCCCUAAUGCUCAUUAUCAGUGGACAGUUCUACCUUUCGGUCUCAAAGUUGCUCCAUCAUUAUUUCAAAAAGCAAUGGUUAAGAUCUUCUCUCCAAUCCUCCAUCAUGCUUUGAUCUACAUUGAUGACAUCCUGUUGUUUUCCCAUGACCACCAAACACAUCAACAACUCCUUUCAGAUUUCCUGGAAAUCGUUCAGACACAUGGCAUCAUGCUUUUUGAAAAGAAAAGCAACAUCGGAAAGGAAUCUAUUGACUUUCUUGGCAUGGUCUUAAAAGAUGGUCACUACCAUCCUGGACCACACAUUGCAGCAGAAUUAUUAAAGUUUCCAAACAUUGAUUUUACCAAAAGACAAAUUCAACAGUUCCUUGGAAUUGUUAAUUAUGUCAGAGACUUUAUUCCCAAAGUUGCGGUCCAUACUAGUCAUCUAUCAUGCAUGCUCAAAAAGACGGCUCCACUAUGGGGUCUAGAUCAAACAGAAGCUGUAAAACAGCUUAAAAAGAUAGCCCAGUCACCUUCCUCCAUUCAAAAUUCCCACUACCAGCCAACGCAUUCUCUAGACAGAUGCUAGUGAUGACUUUUGGAGUGCUAUCCUCCUAGAAAAAAUCGGUGAGUCAAAGUCCUAUUGCUCUCAUGCAAGUGGACAGUUCAAAGAUUCAGAAAAGAAUUAUCACGUGAUUUACAAGGAAAUUAUUGCAGUAAAAUAUGGAAUCAAGAAAUUUGAAUUUCAUCUCAUCAGCCAUAAUUUCCUCAUCAGAAUGGACAACAGUUCUUUUCCAAAGAUCUUUGACUUCAAGAACAAAUUGCUUCCUGACAAGCAAUUGCUCAACUUAAAGACAUGCUUUGCAAAGUAUGACUACACAGUCCAACACAUCAACGGUGAUAAAAAUCUUAUCCCUGAUUUCAUCACCUGACCAUCUAUAAAAAGCCAUGUUCUCAUCUCUUCAAUCCAAACCAUCCCAAUUAUAGCCAUGUAUCGAUCACACUCCCCUUCAAAGCUCUUACCCAAAAAGCUUUUCCUCUAAACCUCACUUUCCGAAUAGCUUUCCAAAUCCAGACUUUUACAAAGAAAUUCCUUUACAGGUAUUUCAUGAAUGUUCACAAAACAAAACCCGACAUGUUUCCUUCUCUAUGUUUAGAACACUUGUUCCUCACUGGCUUCACCAUUGUUCUAAGCCUUACCAUCUCUGAAGAUGAGUAUCAGUUUUUCUAGAAAAAACAGCCAAUGGAUAAAGACUAAAAACUCCAAAAACCGGGAUACCUUGAUUGCUCCAGAGGACGAUCGGAUGCUCAACGAUGUCAAUCCUCUUGAUUAGCUUCCAGAUUUUCGGUUAGGAGCUCAUCCACCUCCUCUGCGUUGCUGUUCUGUCCCCCAGCCUCCAGCUGACUCUGACUCUGAGGAGCGUGAGAUGGAUGCUGAUAUUCCAUUCACUUUGAUGCCACCUCCAGCUCCAGCACAGCCUUCUGCUCCCGAGCCAUCUGCUGUUCCCGAGCAGCCCUCCAUUUUUGAGCCACCUCCAGCUCUCGAGCAGCCUCCUGCUUCAAUUCAGCCCCCUGCUUCGGUUGCCUUGCAGCAGUUGGUGGACCAUGUUCGCAGGAUUUCGAAGAGGCAGCAGCUGAUUCUCGAUCAUUUGGACACCUUUUCCCGCGACCAUCAGCAGCUUCGUUCUGAGUUUCAGACCUUUCAACAGCAGAGCAUUGAUCAGCAGCUUGAGCUUAUAGCUGGACAGCGUACUCUUCUUCGUUAUUUCGGUUAUGAUCCGGGGAGCACAUCUUCACCACCCCUAUAGUUUCUGAGUCUUAUCUUAGCACAUACAUUUCAUAUUUUGUUUGUUUGUGUUGUUAUUUAUAUUUUGAUCAUAAAUUGCUACUUCUCUAUGAUUUUGCUGAUGGAUUGUUUUUGUGAUGUUCUUGAUGUUGGAUGAUUUGAUAUUGGCUGCUGGAGUUGUUAGUAUGUUGGAUGCUAGAGCUAUUAUUAAUAUAUUUGGAAGUGUUUUUUAAUCUCAUUUUGUAUUAGUGGAUUUGUUCCAUUUUAAGGGGAAACUCUGCCAAUCUUUUUUUUGCUCGCCAAAACUGGGUAACUUCUUUCUCACAUCUAUGCUUUACGGAUUUCUUUUCUCUUCUUUCUUUUUGAUGAUGAAGGGGGAGAGAUUAUGUUAUGCUCCUGUAUUUUGUAUAUAUUGAUAAAGGGGGAGAUAACGAAUAGUGAAAUAAAAAUAAAAUUCACUUUUGAAAUGCAUUUUGCUUUUAAAACGGUUUUUGAAAUGAAUUCUUUGUCAAAAUGUUUCCUUGAGCAAAAAUAUGUUUAUUGAACAUUUUUUAAAAAUUGGCCAUACAUUUAGGGGGAGAAUAUAUUAAGGGGGAGCAAAAUAUUGAAUGAAGUUUGUCAUCAUCAAAAAGGGGGAGAAUGUUAACAUGUAUAUGUUCAUAAUAUUGAUUUUGAUGAUAACAAAUUUUAAAUGUUUAUUGAUUAAAAUGUUGGAGCUAUUCAUUAAUAAACGAAAGCCUUAUAAUCAUUCCAAUUAUAUUCAUAAAAGUUGGAUAACUGUUAAAACUUGAAAUUGGAAAAUGAUUCUCUGCAAUAUCUGGCUAACACUAUGAUUCUAAAAAUAAACGGUUCACCGUUUAUUUUUAACGGUUAACCAAUUAAAACCAAAGAGUAACGAAUUGCUUAAGCUCUAACCGAUUAACAAAAACGAAAAAACACAAUAUGUUGGGAAGGCUACUGAAAUUAAAACCUUGAACCGUUUAUUGAAACAGUUAACCGAUAAAAUCCAAAGUGAAAAUCUAUGUUCAUCUUGUUACUAGAAACAAACGGUAAAGGCUUAACUGAAACAGAUAAGGCUAACUUGUUCUACAGGUUACUGGAAACAAACGGCGAACUGUUUUAUUACAAACGGCUAACCGAUAAAUUCCAGAGAGCUUAUUUCAUGCAAAUCCUUAACCGUUUAAUGUAAACGGAUAACUGAUGUUUAUCUUGCAGGUCUCUGAAAUUUAACGGUGAAAGGGUAAUCCUAAACGGCAAAUCAUUUAUUUGAAAAUUGACUCAACGGUAACUUUGACCAGCCUAAAUGGUUAACCGUUAAUGGUUAACGGUGAACCGUUUUCGAGCAGACAGUCUAUAACGGCUAGUUUUUCGGCUCCUACUAUAAAUAAGCUCAUUCAAAUUCAAACAAGAUUGAUCAAAACACGACCAUUGAGCUUAUAUUCGAGAAUACAAUCUUCAUAGAGUUUUAAAACACAUUCUUGCUUUAUCUAUUCACACAUUGGGCAUUGAUUUGUAAUCUUAAAUAUUGUGUGAGAGAAAAACAAUUUUUAAUCUUUUACUUUGAGUGAUUGUAAGUGUUGGGAUACACUUGGGUUAAGAGAUUUGGGAUAAUCUCUUCUUGGAAGUCAAGUGUAAGCAUUUGAAGCCUUGGAGGCUUGCUUAGUGAAAUCCUCAAGCCCGGAAAGCUUGGAGGCGUGGACGUAGGCGAAUCUCUCUUCCCUUAUCUUUUUAUAUUGUAAUUGAUUUAAUUGUUAUUCCAUUAAAUUCAUUUUAGAUUUGCAUGAUAAUUUGUUUUAGAAUCAAAUAAUUUUUAGAAUCCCAAUUCACCCCCCCCCUCUUGGGUUGCACACUUGUAUUUCAGAUAUAUUUGUACAAGGCUGCUUAUAAUGAUGAAUCUCUCUCAUUCUUCUUUCUAACACUGAAGUUGAAGAUGAAAAUUUUGCUAGAUUGGAUUUGUCUAUCCGUCAUGCAAACAGUGUUAAGAUGUUGUUUUACUUCCAUGCAGGCUUAGAACCAGCUGUGUUUGUAGCUCUUGUUCUGAAUAGUGUUGGUAAGCUGUGUUUACAUUCACAUGUACAGUUGCAUGAUCAAUUCCGUAUCACCAACCAUGUACAUUAUUAUAAUGUGGGAACUCCACAAAUUGAUUUAUGGAACUUAUUUAGAACCAUAAUUAAGUGGGUUGUAUAUUCUUAUAUCAGUUCUCUUUACUUUUUAUUUUUCCCCUAUGCAUUUAGUUGUGAUAUUUGGACAAUGUAAGAUCUGGUCCUAAUAUUUGCAAGCAAGUAGCUGAGGGUUUCUGCCAUUUUUCUGCCCCCUUACUUUUCUCACUCUUUCGCUUCUAGUAAGGGUCGGAGAUACUGAUCAUGUGGCUUCUAAGCUGGAUGAAGUAUUUGCUUAGUUGAAACUUAUCUUUCUGAAAGGAAAUACAUAAUUGACAACUUGCAUAUAUUACAGACUUAGUCAAUUUUUGCUGAUGUGUUGAACUACUUGGAGGAUCAGCUUGUGUCUAAUUUACUCUUCUGCUCUAGUUCUGCAUAUAAUUUAUAGUAAGAACAAUGUGGCUAAAACAGCUUAUGAAGUGGGGAGGAAGUUUUGAAUGAUGGGUAAGAAGCUAUGGUUUCUCAGUUCAUGAUGGAGCUGCGAGGGUUGAAAACAAUGGAAGGGGAAGAGCCACUAAGAAUUUUGCAUUUUAAUCUAAGGUUGAAGGGGGAUUUUAGUGGCAAGCCUGUGAUUGAGCAGAAUACCUGUUAUAAGAUGCAGUGAGGGACUGCCUUGUGGUGCUAGGGCCUGCCGUCCAGGCUUGAUGAGGAGACUGGUAAAUUGUCAUUGUCGUUGAGGUUUUAUAUUUUCUUAAAAGUUUAUAUCUGAUUACUGAUUGAUCUUGCAAUUUGCUGGGCUGAUGAUUUUUAGGUGAUUGUAUUUGUGAAAAGAAUGAAUAUUGGUGAGAGUUAUGACAAAUAUUAUUGUUGUUGUUUAAGAUAAACUAAGGGGUGGAACUAAUCUGCUGUGCAGUUCAAUCGCUUUUGGCAAUUAUUAUGUUUCCGUAGUAUUAUAAGGUAAGAGGGGGUGGAGCUUUAUAUUGCAUAUCAAUGCCAUGCUUCUCUUCUAUGUGCAUGUGCUUUACUGCAUUUUCUGUGUUCAAUGGGUUAGAUAGACAUUUAAUUCUGCCUUUGCAUAUCUCUGCUUAGAGGGUUCUGAAGUCCUAUAAUUAUUAUUAAAUAUGAGAUUGAUGUUUUAAUUUAUUAUCUCUGCCUUGGCAAGAUGCUCAAAUUAUUGAUGUUAUGUGACCAAAAAGGAGUAAAUUGAGUUAACUAACCCAACACCCUUAGACAAGUAGCACUGCUUUUGGACAGACACAUCCUUUACUACUAGAAAAAAACAGUUGUAGUAUAUCUUAAAUGAUUCUGCAGCUAUUCAGAUCAUCUUUAACUGAUUAAGAUCGAUCUCUAGGCUUAAUUUAUUUUCUUACAGAGGAGCUUAGGAAUUGGCCCUGGAAGUGGUUCUUGAGAAAUCAAUAGUUAAACAAAGUGAGGACGCCUGGAGGACUGUCCUUGAUUCUUGUCUUCCUGUAUUUCAUUUAAUUGACACCAGGCGUUCUGUACCCUAUGCAAUUAAACAAGUUCAGGAACUACUGGGGGUUUCUCGUGCUUUUGAACAAGCAGUUCAGAUAUCAAGGAAACUCUUCUUUCUCUUUUUCUUAUGCGUAAAUUCUCACAAAAGAAAACUUGGAUGAUGAAUAGGCCCAAAUUCUCUUCUUGUAUCAUGGUUGUGCAGACACCUCGAAAGUGUUUUGAGAAAGCCGCUGAGAAAUGUCAUAUUGAUAACUUAUCAAGUGUGGUAGCUGCUUGCUCCUGGGGUAAACACGUGGCUGUUGGUAUAGGAUCAAGAUUUGACCUCCUAUAGCAAAGAGAGAAUGUAUGUGGGUUAGAGCUUUGUUUCUAGCUUCUCUUUGGGCCUCAGUUUCAAAGGAAUUUCAAGAUAAAAAACAUCAGCACUGAUUUCUCUUGUAUUUUGGAUUUAGGAACUAUAAGAAUUUCACUUAGCUAUAGGGAAGCAAAAGUUGAUGUAGUUGGCAUUUGGCCGCUGAAGUUUCUAAUCAGCAAGGUAAGAAAGAAUAUUACAUUGCAACUAUGGUAUGGUUUACUAGUUUAUUAGUGAUGUAUAAACGUCCUAGGAUACCUAAUUGAUGCACGUAGCAAAUUCUUAGGAAAUAAGGUUCCUUUCAUAUUUCAUUGUCAUCAAAGUAGGCGAAAGUAACAGGUUCAUGAGAGGUGUAGUAUUCAUUAUUAUUAUAAUAAUGCAUUAAAAUAUAAGACUACAUCACAUGGCCAUAACUAUAGUCUAAAAAAAUACUUGGUCAAAAUUGUGUCUAAUAAAAUGCAAAUAGCUUGUCCAAAUCCACACCCUCAAGCAUAUGCAGAUUAUUUUAGGAUAAUUUUGUGUGCAUUGACGUAAGUGAGGUAGCCUCCUUGGGAUACAAUAUGCAGAAAAUUUCAAUAAAAUUAUUAAUACAAUACAAUGAUUUGGACUAAAAAAAAAUUAUAGAAAUAAUGACUCAUUUUCCCAUACCAAAUAAAUUUUGUGAAGCUGUUUAAUGGUCCAGCGAAGUGUGGAACAUGGUCGUUCUUACUUGGGCAUUUCCGUAUAGUAUGUCCAUCUUGUUUGCAACAUCCACAUUUUCUUGUGUUAACACCUUUGUUAAAUUUCGUACUGGAUGCACCCUUUGUCUUCACAACUAGAGGAUCUUUUACAAUUCUUGCUUUCUUUUCUGCACUGCAUGGUCUAUCUGUAUCUCCGUUGUCACAUGUUCUCAACUCCUUUAUCUCACUCUUCAGCUGAGCAAGAUGACUUUUUAAUUUCCAAUAUGUAGCAUCAUAUUUUCAGGCAUAAAAACUAAUUUCAUUGAAUUCGGCAUUUAAUGACCCAUACUGAAAACUGUUAAGAACAUCCUUAGAUUGAAUUUCCAAUGGCAUUAGAGAUUGUUUGUAAACUUUCACAUCCAUAGUCCAUCUUUUGUUAAUCAAUGAAGUAGGUAUCUCACUAGCAUGCAUAUGUUUCAUCACACAAAAUAAGUGAGGGCAUGGUAUUUGAUACGAAUCCCACAAUGAAACUUUCAAUCCUACACUUAAUUUGUAGUUUCAACUUCCCAAGAAAGUUCUAAAUAGAUUUAUGGCAAACAAAAACCUUGACCCAAUGCUUAAGAAAACAUGAACCAAAGGUAUAGAGAAGGGUAUUGACGCCACACUCAAGAAAAAGAGAGUGAUAAGUCUAAGGUAUAGAGAAUGGUAUUGACGCCACACUCAAGAAAUAGAUGAGAAGGUGAGUGAUAAGUCUAAAUUUGGAACACCAGAAGAAUGUAAAUUCUUGAUAAGUUCACUAGUUCUCAAAAGAACCAAAGAAAGAAUAAUCUUUCAAAUUCAAAAUAACAUUCAUCUCCUUAUAUACCAAGGUUGCUGAAUUUAAAUAGGCUAAAAGGAACCCAAGAACCUAAAAAUACAAAUGGAAACAUUGGAACAACCCUCCAAGUAAGUUUGUCAAAAGAUGUUUCAAAAGUCUUCACCAACCCACCAUGAUCAAUGCUAUCUUUGACAAACUUAAUGCUAGCCUACUAUAAUUAAUGCUAUCAUUGACAAACUUAAUGUUAGCCCACCAUCAUUGAUGAGACUUACCUUAUACUGUAAUUAAUGCUAUCAUUGACAAACUUAAUGUUAGCCCACCAUCAUUGACGGUAGACUUACCUUACACAUUGACAAGCUUGAAACAAAACAAACAAAUAAGUUGAAAAACAAAGGAUUCGUUGAAAAUCCCAAGUCUGAACAAGCUGUAAAGAAUUGGUCAUAACUCUUUCUAGAGAACUCGAAAUCCAGCUCUGUAAAAUUUAUUGGAAUGCUAACUUAAUUAUCUUUCCAACGGUAUAUAGCUUGCAUUUUAAUUCUGGCUCAAUCAAUACAGUUUUUAUUCCGAAUUUGACCUUUCUGCAUUUGAUACAACUUGUGUAUUUGGCUGCCCAAUGACUUGAAUAAUGCCCACAAUGCCUUGUCUUCUCUUCAAGCCCAAUUCAUGAUGUCUUGCAUCUUGAAUUGCAUUUUCAAUCCAUAUUUUCUCAAUUAAUCCAUUUAAAGCAGCUUGCAUCUUUUUGGCUCUUGCUCUUGUAAUUGGGCCUCCAUGAAUGUGCAAAGGAUCACUUGAAGUUUUAAUGGUCCCUUGAUGGUUCUCAUCAGUAUUCCAGUAGAUUCAAACUUCUUAUAGGAGCACUCAAAAUGUUGUUCUUUUAGAUAAUAAACCACAAUCCACUUCUUUUUGGCUUCUAGAUGCCUAGUUAAUGUGUACACUUGAAUAUCUAGAAGAGUGACAUUGCUCAACAAUAUAAACCGGACUUCUUUGUAAAUCUGUUUACGAACCUUGUAAAAUAACUUUUGAUUGUAAACCCCUGCAGCAUGUUUCUCCAAGCUUAGAAGAUGAGUACUAAUCAUUGGAAUAGAAUGCUUAGUUUUAAAAUUAUGUCCUAAAUUGGGUUUCUAGCUGAUAUACUCAAGUGGAGAACAGAAAACUAUAAAACAUUUUCAUUUAAGGUUAUAUAACCCAAAACAGACUUUCCUUUAGUCUAAAACAGGGUACCAAACCAGAUAAGAAAUUAUCAAAAGUUUUCUGAUGCACAAGAUCCUUGCUAGAGGGCAAGUGCAGAGCAUACUUCCUUUAGUUUCAAAAUGAACAGAUGUAAGUUUUUGUCUUAUUUUUAAAUCGAUUAGAGCUUCAUUAACAGAGAGAAAAGAAAAUUUAGAAACUCAUGAUUAUAGAAGGCUAAAGAUUUUAUUAAUGUUGCGCUCCCCUUCCAACGAGGAGAAGAUGAGCUUAUAUAGAAAAGGAUAGGACAGGGCCCCUAUCACUUUACAAGACACAUUGACAAACGACAAGCAAUAAAGACAAACUAAAGCAUGACAAACAUGACUCAUGCUUUUAAUUAUUACAAGCCAACUUUGAAAAAGCGAAUAAAGACAAACUAAAGCAUGACAAACAUGACUCAUGCUUUUAAUUAUUACAAGCCAACUUUGAAAAAGCGAAUAAAGACAAACUAAAGCAUGACAAACAUGACUCAUGCUUUUAAUUAUUACAAGCCAACUUUGAAAAAGCGAAUAAAGACAAACUAAAGCAUGACAAACAUGACUCAUGCUUUUAAUUAUUACAAGCCAACUUUGAAAAAGCGAAUAAAGACAAACUAAAGCAUGACAAACAUGACUCAUGCUUUUAAUUAUUACAAGCCAACUUUGAAAAAGCGAAUAAAGACAAACUAAAGCAUGACAAACAUGACUCAUGCUUUUAAUUAUUACAACCCAACUUUGAAAAAGCAAAUAAUGCCAAAGUGCAUGAAUCACAGAGAUGAGAGAUUCAUGUAAUCUUCAUCUGAUGAGUUGUCGGUCGCAUCUUUAUCUUUUGAAAAGAAAACGUUGAGUGAUGGACGUGGAGUUUCUAGUGGAUGUUGAUGAUCUGGGCGACAAGGUGGCCAAGGGCAAAAUAUUUUGCGCCAAGAGGAAGACGGGUGUUCCGUGGAUCUAGUUGGUGUGCUAGAACUGGCUUUAUUUGUUGAAUCAUCCAAGUGUGGUGAACCAUUCAAAAACUUGGUCUUGAGUCCAAAAGAAGUUGGUGUCAGGGUGUUGGAAGUAUGGUCGAUGGAUAAUGAACACAGACGUCCACAUUUUUGCUUCGGAUGAUGGCAUACGUUCCAGAUUAAGAACUUGAGACAAUUGGUGGAGUUUCUGUCGCCACCAUGGAAUUGGAGAAAACCAUUCAAGGAGUGUCCAGAGGAGGGAGGUUGAACUGUUGGGAUUAUGCAAAUGUUCUAAGGUGGCAUAGAGGACGGUAAGGCACCAAAUGUACCAUAAUUCGUCUUCUGAAAUUUCUCAAGAAGGAUCUAGGGUUAGACCGGUAAGAAAUAAGUUUUCGGGAUGAAAGGUUGAAAAUGGAAAUGAGUCAGAUAAGAGAUAGGCUUUCAUAAAAAACCGAAAAACAACUUUUUUGGCUAACUCUUGGAUGGCAAAGACUGUGGUGAAAGUUUUUCCAAGGGGAAAGGGUUUUUUGGUAAGGGCUUGUGAGGGAAGUGAAGUGGCCAUGAAAAUAACAGGAAAAUGGGAAGCUGAGGAUAUGAAAAACAAGGAUUUUUCUGGUUUAUCAAGUCUUGAGAGCAUAUCAAGAAUAAGGUUGUGGUCUCCUUUUAUAUGCUUCAUGGAGAAAUCAUAUUUUGAAAACCAAUCUUUUAAUUUGAGCAACAUCUUUUCGGGGACAUUUUUCCUUUUGAAGUUCAUGAUGUUGGGAAAAGCUGAGUUGUCCAUUCUAACAAGAAAGUGAUAGCCGGUAAGAUGAUACUCGAACUUUUGAAUACCAUGCUUGACAGCUAAAAUUUCUUUGAACACACUGUGGUAAUGGAUUUGUGUGUCAGAGAAGUGUCCACUGGCAUGGGCAAUAAGGUGUUCCUUGCCAUCUAUUUCUUCAAGGAGGAUGGCCCCCCAUGAUUCGUCACUUGCAUCAGUCUGCAAUAUUCACUUGCCAUUGGUGAUGAGCUUUAAUGGGGGUGGAUUUUGCGCAAUUUGCUUUAAAGUUGUGAAAGCAAGUGUGUCGUUGUUGUUCCACGAAGGUGGAUUCUUUUUCAGCAGGGCUGACAGUUGGCGGGUUUGGUGAUCAACAUGAGGAAUAAAGUCCCUGAUAUAAUUGAUAAUACCAAGGAAUUGCUGUAGUUGCCUUUUGGAAAGAUAUUGAUCUGGAAAGUGAAUGAGCUCUUGGGCAAUGUGCUUCCUAGCUGGUAGUGGCCGUCUUUGAUGGUCAUUCCAAGGAAUUCAAUGGUAUGGGUGGCAAUUGUGCUUUUCUUAGUGGAUAACAUGAUUCCAUGAAAUUGAAUGAUAUCAAAGAAUUGAUUUAACAAAUGGCGAUGGUCAUCUGGGGUACCUGAAAAUAACAAAAUAUUGUCAAUGUAAAUCAAUGCACUAUGCAAAAUGGGUUGGAAGAUUUGGACCAUGGAUUUUUAGAAAAUAGAUGGGGCUGUUUUAAGACCAAAGGGUAAAACUAUCCAUUGGUAAUGGGCAUUAGGGAUGCAGAAGGCAGUUUUAUAACGUUCGGAAGGUUUAACGCCAAGUUGCUAGAAUCCAGAUUUAAGAUCAAAUUUGAAAAAGAUUUGGGCAUUUUUGAGAUAAAGUGAACAUGCUCUUGUCUCCUUUUAUAUGCUUCAUGGAGAAAUCAUAUUUUGAAAACCAAUCUUUUAAUUUGAGCAACAUCUUUUCGGGGACAUUUUUCCUUUUGAAGUUCAUGAUGUUGGGAAAAGCUGAGUUGUCCAUUCUAACAAGAAAGUGAUAGCCGGUAAGAUGAUACUCGAACUUUUGAAUACCAUGCUUGACAGCUAAAAUUUCUUUGAACACACUGUGGUAAUGGAUUUGUGUGUCAGAGAAGUGUCCACUGGCAUGGGCAAUAAGGUGUUCCUUGCCAUCUAUUUCUUCAAGGAGGAUGGCCCCCCAUGAUUCGUCACUUGCAUCAGUCUGCAAUAUUCACUUGCCAUUGGUGAUGAGCUUUAAUGGGGGUGGAUUUUGCGCAAUUUGCUUUAAAGUUGUGAAAGCAAGUGUGUCGUUGUUGUUCCACGAAGGUGGAUUCUUUUUCAGCAGGGCUGACAGCUGGCGGGUUUGGUGAUCAACAUGAGGAAUAAAGUCCCUGAUAUAAUUGAUAAUACCAAGGAAUUGCUGUAGUUGCCUUUUGGAAAGAUAUUGAUCUGGAAAGUGAAUGAGCUCUUGGGCAAUGUGCUUCCUAGCUGGUAGUGGCCGUCUUUGAUGGUCAUUCCAAGGAAUUCAAUGGUAUGGGUGGCAAUUGUGCUUUUCUUAGUGGAUAACAUGAUUCCAUGAAAUUGAAUGAUAUCAAAGAAUUGAUUUAACAAAUGGCGAUGGUCAUCUGGGGUACCUGAAAAUAACAAAAUAUUGUCAAUGUAAAUCAAUGCACUAUGCAAAAUGGGUUGGAAGAUUUGGACCAUGGAUUUUUAGAAAAUAGAUGGGGCUGUUUUAAGACCAAAGGGUAAAACUAUCCAUUGGUAAUGGGCAUUAGGGAUGCAGAAGGCAGUUUUAUAACGUUCGGAAGGUUUAACGCCAAGUUGCUAGAAUCCAGAUUUAAGAUCAAAUUUGAAAAAGAUUUGGGCAUUUUUGAGAUAAAGUGAACAUGCUCUUUCUUUUUGGCAAAGGGAAUUUGUCAUCUUGCAAAAACAUGUUUAGAGGCUAAUAGUCUAUGACUAAUCGUUUUUUUCCUCAAACAAUCUCAGAAUGUUUUUCAACAUAAAAAGCUUGGCAAGCCCAUUGAGAACUAGUGGGUUCUAUAAGACCUUGGGCUAGUAGCUGAGAACAUUCCUUUUGGGCUAGGACUAGGUCAGAAGGACUCAUUCCUGGAUGAGUGGCUUUGGUGGAAUUGACAUCUUCAUUCAACUUGAAAGGCAAUUGAACAAAGAAUUGUGGAUUUUUCCACAGGGGAUUGGGAUGGUGAAAGUCAACAUGAGACUCGGGACAAAACUUUAAAAACCUUGUGGAAAUGUCUUGGAAAGGCUGGGAGGUUUCAGACAAACCAUAAAGCUUUAGGACAUUGGUGAAUGAUUUAAACAUGGACUUAACUCGAAUUCCAAUAGGAAUGAUUUGAAGGUGUUUUAUCUAGUGAAUGAUAUCAAUCCUAACAAGAUAUCCUUAUUAGGCAGAUGGGAACCAAUGACUUUCGUCUAGUUAACACAAUUUGGAAAGAUUUGAAUACCAAUGGGUUUUCUGGUAAUCAAGGUGGUGGUGAAGAGUUUUCCAUUGAUUGCUUUGAAAUUUUCUUCAUAAUGUUGCCAAGACUGAGAUGGAAGUAUGUCGGGAUUUAACAUACUUCGUUGGGCCCCUGCAUCAAGAAGACCAAUGGCAGGAAUCGGUCUCUGGAAUUUGGAGGGUAAAAUGUGGAGUUUAAUGGAAGGGAUAGGGAUGGUAGUGUCAAAGGACAAUAGUUGUUGGUGGAAAACAGUCUGAAACUCAUCAUUUUCAGAAUCAUCGGAUGAGUUUUGUAGUGCAAACACUGUUUCAUCAGUAGGCUUCUCUUGUUCUAAGAAGUAAGACUUAAUUUCAUCAUUGUGAGGAGAAUAAUCAGUAGUGGCCUGUAAAUGCUCAAGAAGUCUGAUUGCUUUGUCUUUUUUGUUAGGGCAAUCUUUGGCAUAAUGGCCUUUCUUUUUGCAAAUGAAGCAUCGGCUUGACUUCUUCCUUUGUUGUUCUCUGAAAGAGCUAGAUCUUUUCCUGAAAAAUCGGUAUGAUUUUCGCCUAGAUUUUGAUCUAGGAAAUAAUGCUGGAUUUGAUCUGCAAAUAAGGCUUUUUGCAGGCACUUUGGAAAGGCUCUUUGUCUUUUAACAAUUCUUUGAAGAACUGUUUUUGUUCACAUAGUUUUUCCAAACAUCCUUUGGCGAUCUGAAAGAUCUUUCCUAAGGAAAUGGUAUCAAUGGUGAGAUUAAGACUUGUGAGCUACCGUUGUAUGUCUGGUUGCAAUUCUUCAGGUGAUGAUGCCAUAAAGACAUGUUUGAGAGUCGGAUCAUUGAACCCAUUGAGCUUAUAAAACAGGAUUGACAUCCGUUUGUAAUGGAAAUCAAGAUCUUUAGAGUUGAGGAGCAGCACUUCAUAUUGAGGUAGUCACGUCUUGCAGCUUCAAAGACUGCGGCUGAUUCUCCAAUGAAUUGUUCGUGAAUAACAAAAAGAGCAGAUGAGACAUUAGGUAGUUGCACAAACUGUAAUUGUCUGCACUCUCUUAAAGUAUCAAACCAAUCUCUUAAAGAGCCUGUAAAACGGGUAGCAAGUUCUCUAAGGACGGAUGUUGUAGUAGCAUUUGCUCUUAACAUUUGGAGAUCUGUCCAAACAACCAUUUUGGAUAAUCUUUCUCUCCAUUUAGCUGCAGGGAUAUCAUCAAAAGUGAACCAUGAACCAUUUGAAGGUUUAUGAUCAUGGUGGGAUUGAGCGGCCGGUUUGGAGGGGAGGAUGCUUUGGGUGGAUCUUCCUCAAGAUCUUAGGGUAUUUCAAAAAAUGGGCCAGUUCUUGAGGAUUGAGCAGGCUCAGUUUCUUCCGGUUGGGCCAUAAGAAUCCUAGUGAUAUCAGCAUAGGAUUUUUCAGAAUCACUAGAUGAGAUGGAAGAUUCAAGGGAUCAAUAUGAUCAGUUCGUAAACUAAUUUUUCAUAAUCCAUCUUAGAGUCAAUAUGAUCAGUUCGUAAACUAAUAUGAUUAACCUUCUUAUGGAUAUCAACUAAGGCUUCAUUUUGAGCUCUGGCAUUUUAUGUUUGCCAGUUGAGAACGGCUUCGAAAGGUUUGGGGUCUUCUAAAUGACCUGUAGGAGUGAUGGCGGAAGGGAUAAAGGGUUUAGUGAUGACCUUUUGUUGUAGAUUGGUAUGGGUUUCGAGGGCAAGGAAAUUGGAGGAAUAAUCUUGUGAGGUCGAUGAGAACAUCAUACAAGCCAUAGGCUACAUGGGUAAUGUGGACGGCUGAGGAUGGGGAAGGAUUUCAGUUUUGCAAUUUUUGGCAAUCCAUCUCAAUUCUUUUUAGUAGAUGGGUAAUGGAGCUGGUGGUGGUGGAGGAUUAUGAGAUGGUUUAGGUUGGUUGUGUGAGCACGGAGUUUUAGGUAUUUUCUUUUUUGGUUUCCUUUUCCACUGCAAGCCAACAUCAUCUUCUUCCCAAUCAUCCCAACAGGGACAAUCUGGGUCACAAUUUCCUGAUCCUGGUAAAUCCCAAAGAAAGUGACCAUUAAGUUUGGCAGGAUAGACAGGAUAUCCUUUUGAAGUGAAUCCUAUAAUUGGCAACUUUUCUUGAGUGGUCUGGACAGCCGUUACCAUGGCGGAAUAAGUGAAUGAGAACCGUGGAGGCACUUCUGGUGCUGUUGGUGGAGGUCGAAAAGUCAUUCGAACAGUUCCAUCAGAUCUUCUUUCAAACAUACUUUCUAUGGUCUGGAUAAGAGAAGUAUUGGCGUGGAACUUCUCAUAAUUUGAAAUCUAUUCCAAGGGCAUGAGUUUUAUGAGUUCAUGUUGAGGGAUCUGUCUUGGAAUUUGAAUGAUGGUUAGGAUCUGGUCUGAUUCUGCUAACACUAUGAGGGCGUCAGAGUGGUGCUUAGGCGAAGGAAGAUCUAAGGCAUGGUUCUGGAGCCUAUAGGCCAAUUAAUGGUGAAGAGUGGCAAUUUUUACAGAAGAGACUUGGUCUGCACCUUGAAUUUGUACUUGGACUUGCAAGGCAGUGGAGAGAUUAGGGUCUUGAAGAGAAAGGUUGAAAUUAGGAUAGAAAGUGAGUAAAACCCUUCCAGCAUGAAGAGUGGUUAAGACAGUACCAAUAACAGCAUCUUGGUAAUGUGUGAACCUAGUGUCUAGCAUGGCAAUUCUGGCCGUGACUGGUAAUCCUUUCCUUCCAUGUAAGGUUAGGAUUAGUUGGACUCCUCCGAUAUGGAGAUGAGUAUAACUUUCUCUUUGCCAAUUGGAAAUCAAGUCUGGGGGAAUUUCCAAAGUGACAUAUUGUUCAGCUGUGGUAGCCUGAAGGGAACACUGAUCCAAUCUGGAUGACUGGAUGUAUUCUUUUGGAUGUGGUCUUUUGGUGGAAAUAAGGGUUCGAAUACUGCGAAUAAAGGAGUGUGAUUGUUUAUAGAGGUGAUACGGACUAAGAAGAGGAAAAGAAUAUUCAGUGAUCUAAGCAGAUUUAGGGAUAUAGGAAUAUUCAACUAAAUUUUCGAUCUUACUAGCAGUGUGUUUGGAGCAAGAUUUGGGUAAGGAGAGGGUGGAGGAAAAAGAAACUGGAGUUAUGAUAGAAGACGUAGAAGCAUUGUUGGAGGAAGUGGAUGCCAUGAGUAUGAAAUUCUCUCUGUCGUGGAAGACUCUAACGAAAAGAAAACAAAAAGCAAACUUUUAUCAUACCAUUUUGAGAAAGAAAAGUUCCACGCCAAAUACUUCUCCUAUCCAGACCACAGAAAGUAUGUUUGAAAGAAGAUCUGAUGGAAUUGUCCGACUGACUUUUUGACCUCCACCAACAGCACCAGAGGAGCCUUCACGGCUCUCAUUCACUUGUUCUGCCAUGGUAACGGUUGUCUAGACCGCUCAAGAAAAGUUGCCAAUUACAAGAUUCACUUCAAAAGGAUAUCCUGUCUAUCCUGCCAAACUUAAUGGCGACUUUCUUUGGGAUUCACCAGGAUCAGGAAAUUGUGACCCAGAUUGUCCCUGUUGGGAUGAUUGGGAAGAAGAUGAUGUUGGCUUGCAGUGGAAAAAGAAACCAAAAAAGAAAAUACCUAAAACUCCGUGCUCACACAACCAACCUAAACCAUCUUAUAAUCCUCCACCACCACCAGCUCCAUUACCCAUCUACCGAAAAGAACAGAGAUGGAUUGCCAAAAAUUGCAAAAUUGAAAUCCUUCCCCAUCCUCAGUCGUCCACAUUACCCAUGCAGCCUAUGGCUUGUAUGAUGUUCUCAUCCACCUCACAAGAUUAUUCCCCCAAUUUCCCUGCCCUCGAAACCCAUACCGAUCUACAACAAAAGGUCAUUACUAAACCCUUUAUCUCUUCCGCCAUCACUCCUACAGGUCAUUUAGAAGACCCCAAACCUUUCGAAGCCGUUCUCAACUGGCAGACACAAAAUGCCAGAGCUCAAAAUGAAGCCUUUGUUGAUAUCCAUAAGAAGGUUAAUCAUAUUAGUUUACGAACUGAUCAUAUUGACUCUAAGAUGGAUUCGAUUACUUCUCAAAUACAGCAGAUUUACCACAAUCUUCAGUCCUGAAUCUCCCAACUAGAUUCGGAAUUAAGAACCAUGCUAAGUCAUAAUAGCUACAAUGGUCCAGAAUUUGAUCAAAAGGAAAAGGAAAUCUGAAAGCUGAGAGCAGAACUUGAACAGAUUGAGUUGGAUAGGCAAAGGCCAACAUUAUUUACUACCUCUCCACCGUUACCCUUUAUUAGCCCCACCUUCCAUCCUUUUGCACCUAUGCUUUCUCCAAUCAAGCCCCAAGACCCAUCCAAAUUAUUUGGCAUGACCCAUACUUUGUUCAGAAAACAUCCUCUGCCGAACACAUCUAGAUCUACAUCUCAUCCUCGUCCACGACCCGAUAAACAGCCCUUCCAUCCACCUUUGUCUAUCACAGAACCGCAACCACCUAUAUAUACCCAACUCCCUCCUCAACCAACACCAACUCAGGCCAAAGAUAAAUCACCAAUGCACCAAUAUAGUGCAUAGAUAAUUCCAGACCCAUCUGAUACAGACCAAACUUCUUAUUCAAAUCUCGCCGUUUCAGUCAAUCAAUCUGAAUCCGACACAAACUCUUCCCUUGAAUCUUCCAUCUCAUCUAGUGAUUCUGAAAAAUCCUAUGCUGAUAUCACUAGGAUUCUUAUGGCCCAACCGGAAGAAACUGAGCCUGCUCAAUCCUCAAGAACUGGCCCAUUUUUUGAAAUACCCUCAGAUAUUGAGGAAUAUCCACCCAAAGCAUCCUCCGCUCCAAACCAGCCUGCUCAAUCCCACCAUGAUCAUAAACCUUCAAAUGGUCCAUGGUUCACUUUUGAUGAUAUCCCUGCAGCUAAAUGGAGAGAAAGAUUAUCCGAAAUGGCUGCUUGGAUAGAUCUCCAAAUGUUAAGAGCAAAUGCUACUACAACAUCCGUCCUUAGAGAACUUGCUACCCGUUUCACAGGCUCUUUAAGAGAUUGGUUUGAUACUUUAGGAGAGUACAGACAAUUACAGUUUGUGCAACUACCUAAUGUCUCAUCUGCUCUUUCUAUUAUUCACGAGCAAUUCAUUGGAGAAUCAGUCGCAGUCUUUGAAGCUGCAAGACGCGACUACCUCAAUAUGAAAUGCUGCUCCCUCAACUCUAAAGAUCUUGAUUUCCAUUACAAAUGGAUGUCAAUCCUGUUUUAUAAGCUCAAUGGGUUCAAUGAUCAGACUCUCAAACAUGUCUUGCUAGCAUCAUUACCUGAAGAAUUGCAACCAGACAUACAGCGGCAGCUCACAAGUCUUAAUCUCACCAUUGAUACCAUUUCCUUAGGAAAGAUCUUUCAGAUCACCAAAGGAUGUUUGGAAAAACUAUGUGAACAAAAACAGUUCUUCAAAGAAUUGUUAAAAGACAAAGAGCCUUUCCAAAGUGCCUGCAAAAAGCCUUAUUUGCAGAUCAAAUGCCAGAAAAAGAAAGAUUGUCAUUGCAGCACCAAAAAGAAGAAGCCUUUCCGAAAAUUCACAAAUCCAACAUUAUUUCCUAGAUCAAAAUCCAAGCGAAAAUCAUAUAGAUUUUUCAGGAGAAGAUCUAGCUCUUUCAGAGAACAACAAAGAAAGAAGUCAAGUCGAUGCUUCAUUUGCAAAAAGAAAGGCUAUUAUGCCAAAGAUUGCCCCAACAAAAAAGACAAAGCAAUCAGACUUCUUGAGCAUUUACAGUCCACUAUUGAUUAUUCUCCUAACAAUGAUGAAAUUGAGUCUUACUUCUUAGAACAAGAGGAGCCUACUGAUGAAACAGUGUUUGCACUACAAAACUCAUCCGAUGAUUCUUAAAAUGAUAAGUUUCAGACUAUUUUCCACCAACAACUAUUGUCCCUUGACACUACCAUCCCUAUCCCUUCCAUUAAACUCCACAUUUUACCCUUCAAAUUCCAGAGACCGAUUCCUGCCAUUGGUUUUCUUGAUACAGGGGCCCAACGAAGUAUGUUAAAUCCCGACAUACUUCCAUCUCAGUCUUGGCAACAUUAUGAAGAAAAUUUCAAAGCAGUCAAUGGAAAACUCUUCACCACCACCUUGAUUACCAGAAAACCCAUUGGUAUUCAAAUCUUUCCAAAUUGUAUUAUCUGGGCGAAAGUCAUUGUUUCCCAUCUGCCUAAUAAGGAUAUCUUGUUAGGAUUUGAUAUCAUUCACCAGAUAAAACACCUUCAAAUCAUUCCUACUAGAAUUCGAGUUAAGUCCAUGUUUAAAUCAUUCACCAAUGUCCUAAAGCUUUAUGGUUUGUCUGAAACCUCCCAGCCUUUCCAAGACAUUUCCACAAGGUUUUUAAAGUUUUGUCCCGAGUCUCAUGCUGACUUUCACCAUCCCAAUCCCCUGUGGAAAAAUCCACAAUUCUUUGUUCAAUUGCCUUUCAAGUUGAAUGAAGAUGUCAAUUCCACCAAAGCCACUCAUCCAGGAAUGAGUCCUUCUGACUUAGUCCUAGCCCAAAAGGAAUGUUCUCAGCUGCUAGCCCAAGGUCUUAUAGAACCCACUAGUUCUCAAUGGGCUUGCCAAGCUUUUUAUGUUGAAAAACAUUCUAAGAUUGUUCUAGGAAAAAACCUAUUAGUCAUAGACUAUCAGUCUCUAAACAUGUUUUUACAAGAUGACAAAUUCCCUUUGCCAAAAAGACAGAGCAUGUUCACUUAUCUAAAAAAUGCCCAAAUUUUUUCCAAAUUUGAUCUUAAAUCUGGAUUCUGGCAACUUGGCAUUAAACCUUCCGAACAUUAUAAAACUGCCUUCUGCAUCCCCAAUGCGCAUUACCAAUGGACAAUUUUACCCUUUGGUCUUAAAAAAACCCCAUCUAUUUUCCAAAAAUCCAUGGUCCAAAUCUUCCAACCCAUUUUGCAUAGUGCAUUGAUUUACAUUGACGAUAUUUUGUUAUUUUCAGGUACCCUAGACGACCAUCGCCAUUUGUUAAAUCAAUUCUUUGACAUCAUUCAAUUUCAUGGAAUCAUGUUAUCCGCUAAGAAAAGCACAAUUGCCACCCAUACCAUUGAAUUCUUGGAAUAACCAUCAAAGACGGCCACUACCAGCCAGGAAAGCACAUUGCCCAAGAGCUCAUUCACUUUCCAGAUUAGCAUCUUUCCAAAAGGCAACUAUAGGAAUUCCUUGGUAUUAUCAAUUAUAUCAGGGACUUUAUUCCUCAUGUUGAUCACCAAACCCGCCAACUGUCAGCCCUGCUGAAAAAGAAUCCACCUUCGUGGAACAACAACCACAUGAUGAGAACCAUCAAGGGACCAUUAAAACUUCAAGUGAUCCUUUGCACAUUCAUGGAGGCCCAAUUACAAGAGCAAGAGCCAAAAAGAUGCAAGCUGCUUUAAAUGGAUUAAUUGAGAAAAUAUGGAUUGAAAAUGCAAUUCAAGAUGCAAGACAUCAUGAAUUGGGCUUGAAGAGAAGACAAGGCAUUGUGGGCAUUAUUCAAGUCAUUGGGCAGCCAAAUACACAAGUUGUAUCAAAUGCAGAAAGGUCAAAUUCGGAAUAAAAACUGUAUUGAUUGAGCCAGAAUUAAAAUGCAAGCUAUAUACCGUUGGAAAGAUAAUUAAGUUAGCUUUCCAAUAAAUUUUACAAAGCUGGAUUUGGAGUUCUCUAGAAGGAGUUAUGACCAAUUCUUUACAGCUUGUUCAGACUUGGGAUUUUCAACGAAUCCUUUGUUUUUCA